Molecule: long non-coding RNA, 79057 nt
Filed under: Zea mays
Lineage: Eukaryota; Viridiplantae; Streptophyta; Magnoliopsida; Poales; Poaceae
Description: long non-coding RNA (ZMAY_LNC003993)
Source: RNAcentral
UUGCAAGGGACAGAGGCCGAAAUGGAGGCGCAGAAGGCAGACGGCGAGUUGGGGAGGAAGGUGCUGGCCUCUAGGGUUCGGGACUUUAUAUAAGGGUGUCGGAGUGGCCGGACCAGCCCAAUCUGACUUCCGAUUUCCGAAUGGCGGCCCAGGGCCCAUAAACGGAGCGAGACAUAGUAUAUGGGAAUAUGGGAUGACUGAAUGACAUUGUUAUCUGCUCUCAAUAUUGUAUAGCACCAUUUUUAUGUAGGGAUGGCAACGAACACAUUUUACUCGUGUGCCUGCGGGUAAAAACCUUAUAGGGUGUGGGUUUAAGUGUGAGUUUGUACUCAUGGGUACGAGUACGGGUUUGAUUCACAACUCGAUGGGUUUUUUUCUCGUGGGUAUGAAAAUAUUGUACCUGUGCCCGCAAAACCGUAUACUCGCGUGUGUGUCUGUGUAGACUAUAGAGCACAUGCAUCUCAAUUUAGUGCCACCUCGAAAGCUUUGAGCGAGCGAAGCCAAUCAAAUGAUAUAAAAGAAGACUACAGGCGCCAGGGAACUCGUAGAACUUUUGGCUAAGAUCGGUACAUGUUUUUAUCAGUUUAAUAAAUAUUUAUUAUUAUGUGCUAUCGGUUUAAUAAAUAUUUAUUAUAUGACUGUGCUCGCGGGUGUACCUGCGGGUAGCGGGUUUUGGUAACAUACGCUACCCGUCGCGGGUAGCGGGUGCGGGUACGGGUUUAACAUUAAUCUCGUGGGUACGAGUUUGUAAUCUCUGUACCCGUGGGUUUUAAACCCGUUGCCAUCCCUACUUUUAUGUAUAUGCCCCGAUUUCUCUAGUUACACUUUCCCAACUCUCGUAAUUGAUUUUAUCAAGCCAUAAUUAAUUUUGGUGGUUGAUCGUCAACACAAACACAUGGACUAACUAGUUUGUCUAUAACUCAUGUGUUAUAGGUGCAUAAGGUUCAACACAAACCAAUAAAAGAUUCAAGUUAGGGACUAAAAUUGAAACGGAGCAAAGAAUUUGAGUGUGCUGUGGACUGGCGCACCGGACUGUCCAGUGUGCCACCGGACAGUGUCCGGUGCACCAGGGCCGUAUAAGUUCCAACCAGCCACUCUCGGGAAUUUAACGGUGCCCUCCGCUAUAAUUCACGGGACUGUCUGGUGUGCCACCGGACUGUCCGGUGUGCUAGCGGAGCAACGGCUAACUCGCGCAACGGUCAACUCUGACAGAAGCUACAGUGAGCAACAGUGCCGCGCAGAAGUCAGAACAGCGAAGUCAGAGGGGCAUCGGACUGUCCGGUGUGGCACCGGACUGUCCGGUGCGGCACCGAACUGUCCAGUGCCGCAAGAGGGCAAAGCUCCAACGGUCGCCCGAGCUCCGAACCCUAAUAGUUGGGUGACGUGGUGGCGCACCGGACAACGCACAGUACCUGUCCGGUGGUGCACCGGACUGUCCGGUGGCGCACCGGACUAUCCGGUGCGACCAUCGCCAGCAACCUCCCCAACGGCUACCAAAGUGGUUGGAGGCUAUAAAUACCCUCCAACCACCACAACUUCAAGCAUCCAUGUUUUCUGAAGAUCACAUUCAAUACAAGAGCUCUAGCAUUCACUCCAAGACACAAUACAAAAGAUCAAAUCCUCUCCAAGUCCCAAAUUCAUUCCAAACACUUAGUGGCUUGAGAGAGAGAGAGAGAAUUUUGUGUUCAUUUGAGUUCUUGUCGCUUGGAUUGUCUUUCUUCUUUUCCAAUUCUUAUUCUCAAGUGCUUUGUAAGCGAGGCAAGAGACACCAAGUGUGUGGUGGUCCUUGCGGGGUCUUAGUGACCCGUGAGAUUAAGGAAGAAGGCUCACUCGGUCUAAGUGAUCGUUUGAGAUAGGGAAAGGGUUGAAAUAGACCCGGUCUUUGUGACCUCCUCAACGGGGACUAGGUUCUUUGGAACCAAACCUCGGUAAAACAAAUCAUCGUGUUCACUCGCCUUAUUUCUUGGUUGAUUUGUUUUCCAUCUCUUUCCGACUUAAAUUUAAUUCUAACGCUAACCUCCGACCUUAGUGCUUGCUUAAAGUUAUAAAUUCCAGGUUUCUCCUAUUCACCCCCUUUAGGCGACUUUCAAUUGGUAUCGGAGUCUGGUGCUUCAUUAGAGUCUAACAACUCGAAGUUAUGUCGGGAUAUCACACCAAGAGGGAGAUUAUGACCGGCAACAAGUCCGCAAGCUCGGGGAGGACUCUCUCAAGGGAGUCUGGCAACAAACAUAAAGAGGAAUCCUCUUCCUCCAUCAAGUCACAUCGGAAAGGUGACAAGAAGAAAAAUAUGAAAAAGGUGGUCUAUUACGAGACCGACUCUUCGUCACCCUCCACAUCAAGCUCCGAGUCAUCCGUCGCUUCUAAGAGCCAUGAGCUCAACAAGUAUAGUAAGAUGUCUCUUCGCUAUCCCCGUAUUUCUAAGCGCGCUCCAUUACUUUCCGUUCCCCUAGUCAAACCACCAUAUUUUGAUGGUGAAGAUUAUUGUAUUGUCGGGGACCAUAAUUAGGGGUACCCUGAAGGCUCCUAAUUCUCAGCUGGUAACCCCCAUCAGCACAAAGCUGCAAAGGCCUGAUGGGUGCGAUUAAGUCAGGGAUCGGUCCAUUCGCGGGACUCGAUCACGCCUCGCCCGAGCCUAGCCUCGGGCAAGGGCAGCCGACCCCGGAGGAUCUCCGUCUCGCCCGAGGCCCCCCUCCAGCGACGAACAUACUUCUGGCUUGCCCGAGGCCCUGUCUUCGCCAAGAAGCAACCCUGACCGAAUCGUCGCGCCGACCGACCAAAUCGCAGGAGCAUUUAAUGCAAAGGUGGCCUGACACCUUUAUCCUGACGCGCGCCCUUCUGUCGAUAGAGCCGAAGUGACCGCAGUCACUUCGCCGCUCCACUGACCGACCUGACAGAAGGGCAGCGCCGCCUGCGUCGCACCGACUGCAGUGCCACUUGACAGAGUGAGGCUGACAGGCAGUCAGGCCCGACCUCAGGCACCAUAGGAAACUCCGCUCCGCCCGACCCAGGGCUCGGACUUGGGCUAAGCCCCAGAAGACGGCGAACUCCGCUCCGCCCGACCCAAGGCUCGGACUCGGGCUAAGCCCCGGAAGACGGCGAACUCCGCUCCGCCCGACCCAGGGCUCGGACUCGGGCUAAGCCCCGGAAGACGGCGAACUCCGCUCCGCCCGACCCAGGGCUCGGACUCGGGCUAAGCCCCAGAAGAUGGCGAACUCCGCUCCACCCGACCCAGGGCUCGGACUUGGGCUGAGCCCCGGAAGACGGCAAACUCCGCACCGCCCGACCCAGGGCUCAGACUUGGGCUAAGCCCCAGAAGACGGCGAACUCCGCUCCGCCCGACCCAGGGCUCGAACUUGGGCUAAGCCCCGGAAGACGGCGAACUCCGCACCGCCCGACCCAGGGCUCGGACUUGGGCUCAGCCCCAGAAGACGACGAACUCCGCUUCGCCCGACCCCAGGGCUCGGACUCAGCCCUGGCCUCAGCCGACGGUCUCCGCCUCGCCCGACCCAGGGGCUCGGACUUGACCACGGCCACGGAAGACAGACUCGACCUCGACCUCGGAGGAGCCUCCACAUCGCCCAACCUAGGGCGCGGACCGACCACGUCGACAGGAAGCGCCAUCAUUACCCUACCUAGGGCUGGAAAAUUAGCUCGAGGCUCGCGAGCCGGCUCGGGCUCGGAGCGGCUCGGCUCGGCUCGGGACGGCUCGCGAGCCUCGAACGAGCCGAGCCGAGCCUCUUCUUCGAGCUCGUUUUUACAGCGAGCCGAGCCGAGCCAGCUCGUUCCAGCUCGCGAGCCGGCUCGCGAGCCUUGCAAAAAUAAUCAAUUUAUGGAAUAAUGAUAAAUAUUAGAUAAUUUUAUGGAUAAUAGCUCAUUUUUAGUCUUUAAUGAUGAAUACAUUACAAGUUAUAAUUUAAUUUACUCAUAAUGUAGAAUGAUGAUUCUAUAUUUCAAAUUUAUAUAAUGUUAAUUCACCAAAUAAUGCAACGGUAAGUACCAGAAUAUGGCUCACGAGCCGAGCCGAGCCGGCUCGCGAGCUAAGGUCGAGCCGAGCCUCUUUUGCCAGCUCGUGAAAUGGGCGAGCCGAGCCGAGCUCGUUCAGACACCGAGCCGCACCGAGCCGAGCCGAGCCGAGCUCGGCUCGGCUCGUUUCCAGCCCUAACCCUACCCCAAGCUGACUCAGGCUACGGGGAACAAGACCGGCGUCCCAUUUGGCUCGCUCCGCCAGAUAGGCAAUGAUGGCGCCCCGCACGCUCUGUGACGACGGCGGCUCUCAGCCCCCUUACGGAAGCAAGAGGACGUCAGCAAGGACUCGACGGCCCCGACAGCUGUCCUUCCGCCAGGCUCCAGCGCUCCUCCGACGGCCAUGACACCACAUGAACCGGGUGCCAAAACCUCUCCGGCUGCCACGACGGCGUGUACUUAGGGCGCUAGCUCUCCUCCGCUAGACACGUAGCACUUUGCUACACCCCCCAUUGUACACCUGGAUCCUCUCCUUACGCCUAUAAAAGGAAGGACCAGGGCCCUCUUACAGAGGGUUGGCCGCGCGGGGACGAGGACGAGACAGGCGCUCGCGUGAGGCCGCUCGCUCCCUCUCCCGCGUGGACGCUUGUAACCCCCUACUGCAAGCGCACCCGACCUGGGCGCGGGACGAACACGAAGGCCGCGGGAUUUCCACCUCUCUCACGCCUGUCUCCGGCCACCUUUCUCCCCCUUCGCGCUCGGCCUCGCGCCGACCCAUCUGGGCUGGGGCACGCGGCGACAUUUCACUCGUCGGCCCAGGGACCCCCCGGUCUCAAAACGCCGACAGUUAGCGUGCCAGGUAGGGGCCUGCUGCGUGUUGACGAACAGCUUCCCGUCAAGCUCCAGAUGGGCAGUCUCCAGCAACCUCUCCGGCCCGGGACGGUGCUCUGUUUCGGGAGCCUUGAGUUCAUGUCCUUCGACGGCAGCUACGACAUGAUACUCCUUCCACCGCCGUGCGACGGCGACAAUGGCGGCCGACAGCCCGCCCGCCGGCGGCGGAAUCGACGACGUCUUCCCCGCGUGGUGGAAGAACAACAUUCGAGCUCACCCCGUCCUCUCCCCCGCCGACGGAGGAGGAGGCGGGGCAACCAAGGCCAAGCAGGAGGCAGCGCCUCGUCGGCUGUCGAGCGAGUCGACGGCGCCAGCGCCCCAACGGGGGGCGCGUCGGGCAUCGACCUCACGUUUGAGACGAAGACGAGCGUCGUCUCCCCGCAACACGCCGAUUCCGAGCAAAUGGACGACGCCAGCAUGCUCGCGAAAGGCUUGCUGGAUGUCACCCUCGUACCUGAGACGACGGUGCAGUCAGUCCCCGACGUGACUUCAUCACCGCCCGUCGACCAAGAGGUACCGACCGAUUCCCAUCUCACGCCCUUUGGAUUCAGCCUCGACCCGCCAAGCGGCUUCGCUUUGGCGGACGCUCUCGUAGAGGCGAGUCCAAACCCUCUGGGGUAUCGUAUGUGGUCACCCUGGGACUGGCUGACGGACGUCUCGACCUACGGGCCCUCGAGGUCCGAGGAAGAUGACGAGCCCGACUUCUGUUGGGAUUUCUCCGGACUUGGUAACCCCAGUGCCAUGCGGGACUGAAAGGGAAAUGUGCCCUUGGGCCAUUUCUAAGUAUUUUGGUGAUUGAGUGUCAACACAAGUGCUUAAAUGUGAAUCAAUACCCAUGGAUGAACAAAGUGCAAAUCUAGAGCAAAGGUAUGUUUCUAAGUCUUAGUACAUUGGUUUUGUGUACUAAUAUACUUGUCUAAGUAUUAGAAACAGGAAGAAGAAGAAGAGAAGAAAGUUGGCUGUGUACAGCCAACAGGCUGUUUCGGUCUGGGGCACCGGACUGUCCGGUGGUGCACCGGACAGUGUCCGGUGGUGCACCGGACAGUGUCCGGUGCGCCAGGCUAUCUCGGCCGAAGAGGCCGCUCUCGGGAAUUUGCUGACGGCGUACGGCUAAAAUUCACCGGACUGUCCGGUGUGCACCGGACUGUCCGGUGAGCCAACGGUCGGCCAGGACCAACGGUCGGCCGCGCGAUCAGCGCAGGACACGUGGCCGAGCCAACGGUCGGAAGGGGGCACCGGACUGUCCGGUGUGCACCGGACAUGUCCGGUGCGCCAACGGCUCCCGCAUCUGCAACGGUCGGCUUCGCCAUUUAAGGAAAGGAAUCGGGCACCGGACACUGUCCGGUGUGCACCGGACUGUCCGGUGCGCCCGACGACAGAAGGCAAAGAUGGCCUUCCAGAUUUGUUCUCAACGGCUCCUAGCUGCCUUGGGGCUAUAAAAGGGACCCCUAGGCGCAUGGAGGAUAACACCAAGCAACUCUUGAGCAUUCUUGAUCAUCCACACUCAGUCUUUGCGCAUCCGUUUGUGAUUCUAAGUGAUUCGAGCUCUGUUCUUGUGAGAAACUGUGAGAUAGUCUUUGAGCUCGAAUCUUGGCCGUGUGUGUGCGCGUUUCGCUGUGGAUUUGUGUGUGUUGCUUCCCUCCCUUACUCUGUGCUUCUUUGUGAAUCUUAAGUGUAAGGGCGAGAGACUCCAAUUUGUGGAGAUUCCUCGCAAGUGGGAUAAAGAUAAGCAAGGCAAAAUACUGUGGUAUUCAAGUGGGUCUUUGGACCGCUUGAGAGGGGUUGAUUGCAACCCUCGUCCGUUGGGACGCCACAACGUGGAGUAGGCAAGUUUUGUACUUGGCCGAACCACGGGAUAAAUCACCGUGUCUCCUCUGUGUUGAAUUCUCUGUGAUUGUCGUAUUGUGCAAGAUCUUCUCUUUAGCCACUUGGCAAUUAUUGUGCUAACCUCUAACAAGUUUUUGUGGCUAUAAGUUAAGUUUUUACAGGAUCACCUAUUCACCCCCCCCCCUCUAGGUGCUCUCAAUUGGUAUCGGAGCCGUUCUCUUCACAAAGGGACUUACCGCCCGAAGAGAUGGAUCCUAAGGGGAAGGGAAUCGUGAUCAACGACAAAGAGAAGGAAUCCUUCGUCAACGAGCCGAAGGACAACAAGCCUACCGACUCCGGCUCGAGGCAUAGACGGAAGGAAGGGAAGAAGAAGAAGACAAGGCGCAUAAAGGAGAUCAUCUACUACGACGAUAGUGAUGAGUCUACUUCUUCCCAAAAGGAUGAUGACAACGACUACAAAAAGACGGUCAAUUCGAACUUUUCAUUUGAUUAUUCUCGUAUUCAACAUAGUUCGAAUUCGCAUUUGCUUUCCAUUCCUCUUGGCAAACCUCCACACUUCGAUGGGGAGGACUACGGAUUUUGGAGUCACAAAAUGCGUAGUCACUUAUUCUCUCUCCAUCCAAGCAUAUGGGAGAUUAUGGAGAAUGGAAUGAAAUUUGAUAGCUCGGAUAGCCCUAUGCUUAUAAAUGAACAAAUUCAUAGAAAUGCACAAGCUACUACUGUUCUCUUAGCGUCUUUGUGCAGGGAAGAGUACAAUAAGGUGAGUGGCUUGGACAAUGCCAAGCAGAUAUGGGACACCCUCAAGAUCUCUCACGAGGGGAACGACAUCACCAUGCUCACCAAGAUGGAGUUGGUGGAGGGCGAGCUUGGACGAUUCGCCAUGAUAAGGGGAGAGGAGCCAACUCAAACUUACAACCGGCUCAAGACUCUUAUCAACAAAAUAAGGAGCUACGGAAGCACACGUUGGACGGAUCACGACAUCGUCCGCCUAAUGCUCAGGUCCUUUACCGUUCUUGAUCCUCAUCUCGUGAACAAUAUUCGUGAGAAUCCCAGGUACACGAUGAUGACGCCCGAGGAAGUACUUGGAAAAUUCGUGAGCGGGCGGAUGAGAUCAAGGAGGCAAGAUACGCCGACGACGCGUUGAACGGUCCACUCCAUGAGCCUCAACCCAUUGCUCUAAAGGCAACGAGGAGCAAGGAGUCGCUACCUAGCAAGGUGGCGCAAGUUGAGGCGGCCGGGCUCAAUGAUGAAGAGAUGGCUCUCAUCAUCAAGAGAUUCAAGACGGCGCUAAAAGGUCGAAAGGGACAGCCAAGCAAGGCCAAGACCAAGGGAAAGCGAUCAUGCUUCAAAUGCGGUAAGCUUGGUCAUUUUAUUGCUAACUGUCCCGAAAAUGAUAGUGACCAGGAGCAAGGGAAAAAUGGGAAGAGAGAGAACAAGAAGGUUUACAAGAAGGCCAAAGGCGAAGCACACCUUGGAAAGGAGUGGGAUUCGGAUUGCUCUUCGUCCGACUCCGACGACGAAGGACUCGCCGCCACUGCCUUCAACAAAUCGGCUCUCUUCCCCAACGAGCAUCACACUUGCCUCAUGGCAAGGGAAAAGAAGGUAAUCACUCGUAAUGCUAAUACUUAUGAUUCUUCUAGUGAUGAUGAAUCUAGUGAGGAUGAAAUUGAUUACUCUAGUUUAUUCAAGGGAUUGGAUAGAACUAAGAUAGCUAAGAUUAAUGAGUUGAUCGAUGCCUUAAAUGAAAAGGAUAGAACCUUAGAGAAACAAGAAGACCUCUUAUAUGAAGAACAUGAUAAAUUUGUUAGUGCACAAAAUUCACUUGCUCUAGAAGUUAAAAGAAAUGGAAUACUUUCUUGUGAACUUUCUACUUGUAAUGAAACCAUUUCUUCUUUAAAAGGUGAAAUUAACGAUUUAACUGCUAAACUAGAAGUAGCAAGUAACUCGUAUGUUGAAAAUAUUACAAUUUGCACUAGGUGUAAGGAUUUUGAUGUUAAUGCUUGUAGUGAACACUUAGUUUCAAUUUCAAAACUAAAUGAUGAAGUGGCUAGUCUUAAUGCUCAACUUAAGACUAGCAAGAGUGAAGUUGAUAAAAUAAAAUUUGCAAGGGAUGCCUACACAGUGGGUAGACACCCCUCAAUUAAGGAUGGUCUUGGCUUCAAGAGAGAAGCCAAGAACUUAACAAGCCAUAAGACUCCUAUCUCCACCAAGGAGAAAGGGAAGGCUCCUAUGGCUAAUAGUGUUAAGAAGAAUCAUGCUUUCAUGUACUAUGAUAGGAGAUACUCUAGAAAUGCUUUUAGAAGUAAUGAUGUUUUUGAUUCACAUGCUUAUGACUCUUAUGCUAUGACUGCUUCUAGUUCUCAUGUUAUGCAUGGUAGAAAUGUGUUUAGAAGAAAUGUUGUUCACCAAAUGCCUAGGAGAAAUGUAGUUCAUAAUGCUCCUAGGAAAGUAGUGAAUGAACCUUCCGAAAUUUAUUGUGCUCUAAAUGCUUCCUUUGCUAUUUGUAGAAAGGAUAAGAAAAUUGUUGCUAGGAAGUUAGGGGCAAGAUGCAAGGGAGAUAAAACUUGCAUUUGGGUCCCUAAGAAUAUUUGUGCUAACCUUAUAGGACCCAACAUGAGUUGGGUACCUAAGUCCCAAGCCUAAAUUUGCCUUGCAGGUUUAUGCAUCCGGGGGUUCAAGCUGGAUUAUUGAUAGCGGAUGCACAAACCAUAUGACGGGGGAGAAGAAGAUGUUCACCUCCUACGUCAAGAAUAAGGAUUCCCAAGAUUCAAUUAUAUUCGGUGAUGGGAAUCAAGGCAAGGUAAAAGGGUUAGGUAAAAUUGCGAUUUCUAAUGAGCAUUCUAUCUCUAAUGUAUUUUUAGUAGAGAGUCUUGGAUAUAAUUUGCUAUCUGUUAGUCAAUUAUGUCAUAUGGGGUAUAAUUGUCUAUUUACAAAUGUAGAUGUGUCUGUCUUUAGAAGAAGUGAUGGUUCACUAGCUUUUAAGGGUGUAUUAGACGGCAAACUUUAUUUAGUUGAUUUUGCAAAAGAAGAGGCCGGUCUAGAUGCAUGCUUAAUAGCUAAGACUAGCAUGGGCUGGCUGUGGCAUCGCCGCUUAGCACAUGUGGGGAUGAAGAACCUUCACAAGCUUCUAAAGGGAGAACACGUGAUAGGUUUGACUAACGUGCAUUUCGAAAAAGAUAGACCUUGUGCAGCUUGUCAAGCAGGUAAACAAGUGGGAGGAGCGCAUCACAGCAAGAACGUGAUGACCACUUCAAGACCCCUGGAGCUGCUGCAUAUGGACCUCUUCGGACCUGUCGCCUAUCUGAGCAUAGGAGGGAGUAAGUAUGGUUUAGUUAUUGUUGAUGAUUUUUCCCGCUUCACUUGGGUGUUCUUUUUGCAGGAUAAGUCUGAAACCCAAGUGACCCUCAAGCGCUUCCUCAGGAGAGCUCAAAAUGAGUUUGAGCUCAAGGUGAAGAAGAUAAGGAGCGACAACGGGUCCGAAUUCAAGAACCUUCAAAUGGAGGAAUUCCUUGAAGAGGAAGGGAUCAAGCACGAGUUCUCCGCUCCCUACACACCACAGCAAAAUGGUGUGGUAGAGAGGAAGAACAGGACGCUAAUCGAUAUGGCGAGGACAAUGCUUGGAGAAUUCAAGACCCCCGAGUGUUUCUGGUCGGAAGCCGUGAACACGGCUUGCCACGCCAUCAACAGGGUCUACCUCCAUCGCCUCCUCAAGAAGACUUCGUAUGAGCUUCUAACCGGUAACAAACCCAAUGUAUCUUACUUUCGUGUAUUUGGGAGCAAGUGCUACAUUCUAGUGAAGAAAGGUAGAAAUUCUAAGUUUGCUCCCAAAGCUGUAGAAGGGUUUUUGUUAGGUUAUGACUCAAAUACAAAGGCGUAUAGAGUCUUCAACAAAUCAUUGGGUUUGGUUGAAGUCUCUAGCGACGUUGUAUUUGAUGAGACUAAUGGCUCUCCAAGAGAGCAAGUUGUUGAUUGUGAUGAUGUAGAUGAAGAAGAUGUUCCGACGGCCGCUAUACGGACCAUGGCGAUUGGAGAAGUACGGCCACAGGAACAAGAUGAACGAGAUCAACCUUCUUCCUCAACUAUGGUGCAUCCCCCAACCGAAGAUGACGAACAGGUACCUCAAGUGGAGGCGCUUGAUCAAGGGGGAGCACAAGAUGAUCAAGUGAUGGAGGAAGAAGCGCAACCGGCACCUCCAACCCAAGUUCGAGCGAUGAUUCAAAGGGAUCAUCCCGUCGAUCAAAUUCUGGGUGACAUUAGCAAGGGAGUAACUACUCGAUCUCGAUUAGUUAAUUUUUGUGAGCAUUACUCCUUUGUCUCUUCUAUUGAGCCUUUCAGGGUAGAGGAGGCCUUGCUAGAUCCGGAUUGGGUAUUGGCCAUGCAGGAGGAGCUCAACAACUUCAAGCGCAAUGAAGUUUGGACACUGGUGCCUCGUCCGAAGCAAAAUGUUGUGGGAACCAAGUGGGUGUUCCGCAACAAACAGGACGAGCACGGGGUGGUGACGAGGAACAAGGCUCGACUUGUGGCAAAAGGUUAUGCCCAAGUCGCAGGUUUGGACUUUGAGGAGACUUUCGCUCCUGUAGCUAGGCUAGAGUCCAUUCGUAUCUUGCUAGCAUAUGCCGCUCACCAUUCUUUCAGGUUGUACCAAAUGGAUGUGAAGAGCGCUUUCCUCAACGGGCCAAUCAAGGAGGAAGUGUACGUGGAGCAACCCCCUGGCUUCGAGGAUGAACGGUACCCCGACCACGUGUGUAAGCUCUCUAAGGCGCUCUAUGGACUUAAGCAAGCCCCAAGAGCAUGGUAUGAAUGCCUUAGAGACUUUUUAAUUGCUAAUGCUUUCAAGGUUGGGAAAGCCGAUCCAACUCUUUUUACAAAGACAUGUGAUGGUGAUUUGUUUGUGUGCCAAAUUUAUGUCGAUGACAUAAUAUUUGGUUCUACUAACCAAAAGUCUUGUGAAGAGUUUAGCAGGGUGAUGACACAGAAAUUCGAGAUGUCGAUGAUGGGCGAGUUGAACUACUUCCUUGGGUUCCAAGUGAAGCAACUCAAGGACGGCACCUUCAUCUCCCAAACGAAGUACACGCAAGAUCUGCUAAAGCGGUUUGGGAUGAAGGACGCCAAGCCCGCAAAGACUCCGAUGGGGACCGGCGGACACACCGACCUCAACAAAGGAGGUAAGUCCGUUGAUCAAAAAGCAUACCGGUCAAUGAUAGGUUCUUUGCUUUACUUAUGUGCUAGUAGACCGGAUAUUAUGCUUAGCGUAUGCAUGUGUGCUAGAUUUCAAUCCGAACCUAAGGAGUGUCACUUAGUGGCGGUGAAGCGAAUUCUUAGAUAUUUGGUUGCUACGCCUUGCUUCGGGCUCUGGUAUCCAAAGGGGUCUACCUUUGACUUAGUUGGAUACUCAGACUCCGACUAUGCUGGAUGUAAGGUCGAUAGGAAGAGUACAUCGGGGACGUGCCAAUUCUUAGGAAGGUCCCUGGUGUCAUGGAACUCUAAGAAACAAAUAUCCGUUGCCCUAUCCACCGCUGAGGCCGAGUACGUUGCCGCAGGUCAGUGUUGCGCGCAACUACUUUGGAUGAGGCAAACCCUCCGGGACUUUGGCUACAAUCUGAGCAAAGUCCCACUCCUAUGUGACAAUGAGAGUGCUAUCCGCAUGGCGGAGAAUCCUGUUGAGCACAGCCGCACAAAGCACAUAGACAUCCGGCAUCACUUUUUGAGAGACCACCAGCAAAAGGGAGAUAUCGAAGUGUUUCAUGUUAGCACCGAGAACCAGCUAGCCGAUAUCUUCACUAAGCCUCUAGAUGAGAAGACCUUUUGCAGGUUGCGUAGUGAGCUAAAUGUCAUAGAUUCGCGGAACCUGGAUUGAAUUGUAGCAUACAUGUACUUAUGCUUUUGAUCAUGUUCCUUUUUGCAUUUUGUUGCUUAUUAUGGUGCUCAAGUUGUACCAACACUCCCUGGACCUCACAAGUCCGUUGCAAAGUGAUGCACAUGUUUAGGGGGAGAUGUGUUACAACUUGACCCUUUGAGACUAACCAUGUGCUUGAGUUUGAUAAUUUAGUCUCGAAGGAGGAUUGAAAGGGAAAAGGUGGACUUGGACCAUGAAAGACUUCCACUGCACUCCGAUGAGAGGGUAACUAAUUCCAAGUUCAUCUCAUGAAAUCUUAUUGCCAUUUGCUCUUAAUUGAAGACUUUGGUGAGGCAAUGGGGUUAAAAGGCCAAGAUUGAUCCCGUUUUGGUGCUUCAUGCCAAAGGGGGAGAAAAUAAAGGCCAAAGUGAUAAAUGGAUCAGCUACCACUUGAGAGAUUUUGAAAAUAGUAGAAUAGAGUUUUUGUUGUGUCAAAAGGCUUUUAUUAUCUCGUAUUGUCUCUAUUGUCAAAAGUUGGCUUCUUGUGGGGAGAAGUGUUGAUUAUGGGAAAUAGGGGGAGUUUUUGAAAUCUUUGAUCAAUCUCUUUUGGAAUGACUCUCUUUAUGCCUCAACAUGUGUGUUUGACAUAGAAAUAGAAAUUUGAGUUUGAUUUGCAAAAACAAACCAAGUGGUGGCAAAUGAUGAUCCAUAUAUGCCAAAAUUGAAUCAAAACCAAUUUGAGCUUUUAUUUGAAGUGAUUUUGCACUUGUUCUAGUUGCUUUAUGUUGUGUUGGCAUAAAUCACCAAAAAGGGGGAGAUUGAAAGGGAAAUGUGCCCUUGGGCCAUUUCUAAGUAUUUUGGUGAUUGAGUGUCAACACAAGUGCUUAAAUGUGAAUCAAUACCCAUGGAUGAACAAAGUGCAAAUCUAGAGCAAAGGUAUGUUUCUAAGUCUUAGUACAUUGGUUUUGUGUACUAAUAUACUUGUCUAAGUAUUAGAAACAGGAAGAAGAAGAAGAGAAGAAAGUUGGCUGUGUACAGCCAACAGGCUGUUUCGGUCUGGGGCACCGGACUGUCCGGUGGUGCACCGGACAGUGUCCGGUGUGCCAGGCUAUCUCGGCCGAAGAGGCCGCUCUCGGGAAUUUGCUGACGGCGUACGGCUAAAAUUCACCGGACUGUCCGGUGUGCACCGGACUGUCCGGUGAGCCAACGGUCGGCCAGGACCAACGGUCGGCCGCGCGAUCAGCGCAGGACACGUGGCCGAGCCAACGGUCGGAAGGGGGCACCGGACUGUCCGGUGUGCACCGGACAUGUCCGGUGCGCCAACGGCUCCCGCAUCUGCAACGGUCGGCUUCGCCAUUUAAGGAAAGGAAUCGGGCACCGGACACUGUCCGGUGUGCACCGGACUGUCCGGUGCGCCCGACGACAGAAGGCAAAGAUGGCCUUCCAGAUUUGUUCUCAACGGCUCCUAGCUGCCUUGGGGCUAUAAAAGGGACCCCUAGGCGCAUGGAGGAUAACACCAAGCAACUCUUGAGCAUUCUUGAUCAUCCACACUCAGUCUUUGCGCAUCCGUUUGUGAUUCUAAGUGAUUCGAGCUCUGUUCUUGUGAGAAACUGUGAGAUAGUCUUUGAGCUCGAAUCUUGGCCGUGUGUGUGCGCGUUUCGCUGUGGAUUUGUGUGUGUUGCUUCCCUCCCUUACUCCGUGCUUCUUUGUGAAUCUUAAGUGUAAGGGCGAGAGACUCCAAUUUGUGGAGAUUCCUCGCAAGUGGGAUAAAGAUAAGCAAGGCAAAAUACUGUGGUAUUCAAGUGGGUCUUUGGACCGCUUGAGAGGGGUUGAUUGCAACCCUCGUCCGUUGGGACGCCACAACGUGGAGUAGGCAAGUUUUGUACUUGGCCGAACCACGGGAUAAAUCACCGUGUCUCCUCUGUGUUGAAUUCUCUGUGAUUGUCGUAUUGUGCAAGAUCUUCUCUUUAGCCACUUGGAAAUUAUUGUGCUAACCUCUAACAAGUUUUUGUGGCUAUAAGUUAAGUUUUUACAGGAUCACCUAUUCACCCCCCCCUCUAGGUGCUCUCAGGGACUUCAUGACCACAUGCAACUACUGCCUUUCCGACUGUUCCGACGGUAGCCGCAGCCUCGGCGACGAGGACUGCGGCCCAAGCCGCGAAUGUUUCCACGUCGAUCUAGGGGGUCCCUCCGAAGGCAACCAUCUCGGUAUGCCAGAGAACGGUGAUCUCCCUAGGCCUGCGCCUCGCGUUGACAUCCUACGGGAGCUAGCUGUGGUCCUCAUUCAGGCGGGGGGCCAUGACCCACAGCUCGAGCAAAUCCGCGGGGUGCAGGCCAGGCUCGACGAGGGAGCAGGAGCGCUUGAGCCGAUCCGCCUGGACGUCGGGCAGGAAUGGGCGGGCCAACCUCUGGCGGAGAAAUGCGUCAUCUACCCCAGGGCUUCCAGCACCGCAUCGCCGACAAUGUCAGGAUGAGGCCGCCACCCGCUUCCAGUGGGGUCGGCCAGAACCUGGUCGCGGCGGCAAUGCUUCUCCACGCGAUGCCGGAGCCAUCGACCACCGAGGGGCGGCGAAUCCAGGGAGAACUCAAGAAUCUCCUGGAGGGCGCCGCGGUCCAGCGGGCCGAAAGCUCCGCCUCCCGAAGGCAGGGGCACCCCUCGGAACAUCAUGCCGCGACUUCCCGAUUCAUGCAGGAAGCCUCAGUCCACACCGGGCGCACGCGCAACACAGCGCCUGCGGCCUCGGGUCGCCCCGGCAACGAGCACCAUCACCACGACCGUCGGGCCCACCUCGACGAGAGGGUGCGCCGAGGCUACCACCCCAGGCGUGGGGGACGCUACAACAGCGGGGAGGAUCAGAGUCCCUCGCCCGAACCACCCGGUCCGCAGGCUUUCAGCCGGGCCAUACGACGGGCGCCGUUCUCGACCCGGUUCCGACCCCCGACUACUAUCACAAAGUACUCGGGGGAGACGAGACCGGAGCUGUGGCUCGCGGACUACCGGCUGGCCUGCCAACUGGGUGGAACAGACGAUGACAACCUCAUCAUCCGCAACCUCCCCCUGUUCCUCUCCGACACCGCUCGCGCCUGGUUGGAGCACCUGCCUCCGGGGCAGAUCUCCAACUGGGACGACCUGGUCCAAGCCUUCGCCGACAAUUUCCAGGGCACGUACGUGCACCCUGGGAAUUCCUGGGACCUCCGAAGCUGCCGACAGCAGCCGGGAGAGUCUCUCCGGGACUACAUCCGACGAUUCUUGAAGCAGCGCACCGAGCUGCCCAACAUCACCGACUCGGAUGUCAUCGGCGCGUUCCUCGCCGGCACCACCUGCCGCGACCUGGUGAGCAAGUUGGGUCGCAAGACCCCCACCAGGGCGAGCGAGCUGAUGGACAUCGCCACCAAGUUCGCCUCUAGCCAGGAGGCGGUCGAGGCUAUCUUCCGGAAGGAUAAGCAGCCCCAGGGCCGCCCACCGGAAGAUGCCCCCGAGGCGUCAACUCAGCGCGGCACCAAGAAGAAGGGCAAGAAGAAGUCGCAAGCGAAACGCGACGCCGCCGACGUGGACCUUGUCGCUGCCGCCGAGUACAAGAACCCUCGGAAACCCCCCGGAGGUGCCAACCUCUUCGACAAGAUGCUCAAGGAGCCGUGCCCCUAUCACCAAGGGCCCGUCAAGCACACCCUUGAGGAGUGCGCCAUGCUUCGGCGCCACUUCCACAGGGCCGAGCCACCCGCGGAGGGUGGCAGGGCUCGCGACGACGACAAGAAGGAAGAUCACCAGGCAGGAGAGUUCCCCGAGGUCCGCGACUGCUUCAUGAUCUACGGUGGGCAAGCGGCGAACGCCUCGGCUCGGCACCGUAAGCAAGAGCGUCGGGAGGUCUGUUCGGUGAAGGUGGCGGCGCCAGUCUACCUAGACUGGUCUGACAAGCCCAUCACCUUCGACCAAGCCGACCACCCCGACCACGUGCCGAGCCCGGGGAAAUACCCGCUCGUUGUCGACCCCGUCAUCGGCGACGUCAGGCUCACCAAGGUCCUCAUGGACGGAGGCAGCAGCCUCAACAUCAUCUACGCCGAGACCCUCGGGCUCCUGCGUGUCGAUCUGUCCUCGGUCCGGGCAGGCGCUGCGCCUUUCCAUGGGAUCAUCCCCGGGAAGCGCGUCCAGCCCCUCGGACAACUCGACCUUCCCGUCUGCUUCGGAACACCCUCCAACUUCCGAAGGGAGACCCUGACGUUCGAGGUGGUCGGGUUCCGAGGAACCUACCACGCGGUACUGGGAAGGCCAUGCUAUGCGAAGUUCAUGGUCGUCCCCAACUACACCUACCUCAAGCUCAAGAUGUCGGGCCCCAACGGGGUCAUCACCGUCGGCCCCACAUACAAACACACGUUCGAAUGCGACGUGGAGUGCGUGGAGUACGCCGAGGCCCUCAUCGCCGACCUGGAGAGCCUCUCUAAGGAGGUGCCGGACGUGAAGCGUCAUGCCGGCAACUUUGAGCCAGCGGAGACGGUUAAGUCCGUCCCCCUCGACCCCAGCAGCGACGCCUCCAAGCAGAUCCGGAUCGGCUCCGAGCUCGAUCCCAAAUAGGAAGCAGUGCUCGUCGACUUUCUCCGCGCGACUGCCGACGUCUUCGCGUGGAGUCCCUCGGACAUGCCUGGCAUACCGAGGGAUGUCGCCGAGCACUCGCUAGACAUCCGAGCCGGAGCCCGACCCGUCAAGCAGCCUCUGCGCCGAUUCGACGAAGAGAAGCGCAGAGCCAUAGGCGAGGAGAUCCACAAGCUAAUGGCAGCAGGGUUCAUCAAAGAGGUAUUCCAUCCCGAAUGGCUUGCCAACCCUGUGCUUGUGAGAAAGAAAGGAGGGAAAUGGCAGAUGUGUGUAGACUACACUGGUCUAAACAAAGCAUGUCCGAAGGUUCCCUACCCUCUGCCUCGCAUCGAUCAAAUCGUGGAUUCCACUGCUGGGUGCGAAACCCUGUCUUUCCUCGAUGCCUACUCCGGGUAUCACCAAAUCAGGAUGAAGGAGUCCGACCAGCUCGCGACUUCUUUCAUCACGCCCUUCGGCAUGUACUGCUAUGUCACCAUGCCGUUCGGCUUGAGGAAUGCGGGCGCGACGUACCAGCGGUGCAUGAACCAUGUGUUCGGCCAACACAUUGGCCGGACGGUCGAGGCCUACGUCGAUGACAUCGUAGUCAAGACGAGGAAAGCCUCUGACCUCCUUUCCGACCUUGAAGUGACAUUCCGAUGUCUCAAGGCGAAAGGCGUGAAGCUCAAUCCCGAAAAGUGUGUCUUCGGGGUGCCCCGAGGCAUGCUCUUGGGGUUCAUCGUCUUCGAGCGGGGCAUCGAAGCCAACCCAGAGAAGAUCGCAGCCAUCACCAGCAUGGGGCCCAUCAAGGACUUAAAAGGCAUACAGAGAGUCAUGGGAUGUCUCGCGGCUCUGAGCCGCUUCAUCUCACGCCUCGGCGAAAGAGGUCUACCUUUGUACCGCCUCUUAAGGAAGGCCGAGUGCUUCACUUGGACCCCUGAGGCCGAGGAAGCCCUCGGGAACCUGAAGGCGCUCCUCACGAAUGCGCCUAUCUUGGUGCCCCCAGCUGCCGGAGAAGCCCUCCUGAUCUACGUCGCCGCGACCACUCAGGUGGUUAGCGCCGCGAUUGUGGUCGAGAGGCAAGAAGAGGGGCAUGCAUUGCCCGUUGAGAGGCCAGUCUACUUCGUCAGCGAGGUACUGUCCGAGACCAAGAUUUGCUACCCACAAGUUCAGAAGCUGCUGUACGCGGUGAUCCUGACGCGGCGGAAGCUGCGACACUACUUCGAGUCUCAUCCGGUAACUGUGGUGUCAUCCUUCCCCCUAGGGGAGAUCAUCCAGUGCCGAGAGGCCUCGGGUAGAAUCGCAAAGUGGGCGGUGGAAAUCAUGGGCGAAGCAAUCUCGUUCGCCCCUCGGAAGGCCAUCAAGUCCCAGGUCCUGGCGGACUUCGUGGCUGAAUGGGUCGACACCCAGCUCCCAACAGCUCCGAUCCAGCCAGAGCUUUGGACCAUGUUCUUUGAUGGGUCGUUGAUGAAGACAGGAGCCGGCGCAGGCCUACUCUUCAUCUCGCCCCUCGGGAAGCACCUACGCUACGUGCUACGCCUCCAUUUCCCGGCGUCCAACAAUGUGACUGAGUACGAGGCUCUGGUCAACGGGUUGCGGAUCGCCAUCGAGCUAGGGGUCCGAUGCCUCGACGCUCACGGUGACUCGCAGCUCGUCAUCGACCGAGUCAUGAAGAACUCCCACUGCCGCGACCCAAAGAUGGAGGCCUACUGCGAUGAGGUUUGGCGCCUGGAAGACAAAUUCUACGGGCUCGAGCUCAACCACAUCGCCCGGCGCUACAACGAGACUGCGGACGAGCUGGCUAAAAUAGCCUCGGGGCGAACAACGGUUCCCCCGGACGUCUUCUCCCGAGACCUGCAUCAACCCUCCAUCAAGAUCGACGACACGCCCGAGCCCAAGGCACCCUCGGCCCAGCCCGAGGUACCCUCGGCUCAGUCCGAGGCAUCUUCAGCACGACCCGAGGCACCCUCGGUCCGGCCCGAGCCACCCUCGGUUCAGCCCGAGGCACCCUCGGCACCCGAGGGUGAGGCACUGCGCGUCGAGGAGGAGCGAAGCGGGGGCACGCCUAAUCAAAACUGGCGGACCCCGCAUCUGCAAUAUCUCCACCGUGGAGAGCUACCCCUCGACCGAGCCGAAGCUCGGCGGUUGGCGCGGCGUGCCAAGUCGUUCGUCUUGCUGGGAGAUGAGAAGGAGCUCUACCACCGCAGCCCCUCGGGCAUCCUCCAGUGAUGCAUCUCCAUCACCGAAGGUCAGGAACUCCUACGAGAGAUACACUCGGGGGCUUGCGGCCAUCACGCAGCACCUCGAGCCCUUGUCGGAAACACUUUCCGGCAAGGUUUCUACUGGCCGACAGCGGUGGCCGACGCCACUAGAAUUGUCCGCACCUGCGAAGGGUGUCAGUUCUACGCAAGGCAGACCCACCUACCUGCUCAGGCUCUGCAAACCAUACCCAUCACCUGGCCUUUUGCCGUGUGGGGUCUGGACCUCGUCGGCCCCUUGCAGAAGGCACCCGGGGGCUACACGCACCUGUUGGUCGCCAUCGACAAAUUCUCCAAGUGGAUCGAGGUCCGACCCCUAAACAGCAUCAGGUCUGAGCAGGCGGUGGCAUUCUUCACCAACAUCAUCCAUCGUUUCGGGGUCCCGAACUCCAUCAUCACCGACAACGACACCCAGUUCACCGGCAGAAAGUUCCUGGACUUCUGCGAGGACCACCACAUCCGGGUGGACUGGGCCGCCGUGGCUCACCCCAUGACGAAUGGGCAAGUAGAGCGUGCCAACGACAUGAUUCUACAAGGACUCAAGCCUCGGAUCUACAAUGACCUCAACAAGUUCGGCAAGCGAUGGAUGAAGGAACUCCCCUCGGUGGUCUGGAGCCUGAGGACAACGCCGAGCCGAGCCACGGGCUUCACGCCGUUCUUUCUAGUCUAUGGGGCCGAGGCCAUCUUGCCCACAGACUUAGAAUACGGUUCCCCGAGGACGAGGGCCUAUGCUGACCAAAGCAACCAAGCUAGUCGAGAAGACUCGCUGGACCAGCUGGAACAGGCUCGGGACAAGGCCUUACUACACUCGGCGCGGUACCAGCAGUCCCUGCGACGCUACCACGCCCGAGGGGUCCGGACCCGAGACCUCCAGGCGGGCGACCUGGUGCUUCGGCUGCGACAAGACGCCCGAGGGCGGCACAAGCUCACGCCCCCCUGGGAGGGGCCGUUCAUCAUCGCCAAAGUUCUGAAGCCCGAAACGUACAAGCUGGCCAACAGUCAAGGCGAGGUCUACAGCAACGCUUGGAACAUCCAACAGCUACGUCGCUUCUACCCUUAAGAUGUUUUCAAGUUGUUCAUAUACCUCGCUCCCACGCAAAGUUUAGUCAUCAAGGAAGGGUCGGCUUGCCUCGGCAAAGCCCGACCCUCCCUCGGGGGCUAAAAGGGGGGAACCCCCUCUGCGUCGAAUUUUUUCCUCGAAAAAAAGAUCCUUUCUGCCAGAAUAUCUUUCGUGCUUUUCGACUACUUCGAAAGUGGAUCAUGAAAACGACGGAGUACACGUAAGCAGCCAAGGCUGACCGAGCCGAGGGACUCCUACGCCUCCGGGAUACGGAUACCUCAUUCAUCACCUUCCGCGAGAAGCAACUCUCGCCCACAUAGACAACUCUGUUACCGACGAAAAAGUCCAGAUACUCGAAACAAGAGGAAAAGAAACGCACCUUUACAACACGGCGAGGGUGUGUUUGGGCCUCGGCGGCCGUAGAAAACACACACUACAAGAUAAUCCGACCCUGCAGGCUCGGAUCUGGACAGUUGAAGGGAGCCGCAGCACCCUCGGCGUCGACAACACCUUCGGCGAGGUCCGACCUAGCCUCGGACGGCAACACGGUCCGAGGAUCUCCACUCUGAAGGACGACGUCAUCACCACGCCCGGGCCAUCGCCGCCAGGGUCUUCUCCGAGAAUCCGGCCCGAGUAGGCGGCUCGGCUGGUACCCCGAGGCCUCGGCCAGCUGUCCCCCGAGGACAUCAGCCUGACCCGAGGCCUCGGAAGAUCAACUCCGGCGUUGGUCCCGCUAACGGACGACCCGGCCAGGCUCCGGCCGACCAAGUCUUCUUUUCAAGCCAACUCUGCCUUUGUCCAUGCUGACACCGCUACCCCUGGCUUCGGCUCAUCGAAGAGCGGCCGAGGGGUUCCUUUAACUAAGCAAGAGAAGCCUCGGACAGCAAGGCCGACCGAGCCGAGGGACUCCUACGCCUCCGGGAUACGGAUACCUCACUCGUCACCUUUGCACAGGGCGACUCACGCUUGGUGAAGCGGUUCAGACAACCAACAGGCGACUCUUAGUGCUCGAAAAUGAGGAAAAAACACAGCCCCGUGCCAAAAAUACAUACAUGUUCAGGCCUCGACAGCCACAAUGAACAAAAACACUGGCAUUCAAAGUGCCAUUACAAACGGAACUCUGGUUCCACCUCCGCAGGUACGAACAACCCCACUCGAUGGGGGGGCCUGCGGAGCAAUAGAAGACCGACGAACGGCGCGCCGUCACCCGCUCCAGCAAUGACAACGACGAUGACUUCUGCUCUGGGGGGCCAAACAGCGGCAACGAUGACCUCAGGGCGGAUGCUGCUGCCGGGAGGCCCCCGCCCAUGCCCAAACUCAUGAGGCAAGGACGGGUAGAAGGCCAUAGAGUUGGAGGUCGGUCCGUAGGCGGCCCCGGCUAUCUCGUCGGCGGAAGAACCUCUUCCAACUGCCGUGGCGGGAGCCGGCACCGAGAGCGGCUCCAAAGCCACUCGGGUCCGAGAGCCAGGCACGCGGCAGCUGCCAGCGCCACGGACGACAACCGCCCUUCCCCCCGAUCACUGAGGGAAGGAGCGGGCCACCGCCCACGCAGGGGCCGACCCCAACUCGGCACACUCCCCUCCCCAGCCCUGGUGAUGAAAAUCCUUGAGGCUGAGGGAGGGGCAGAGGCCGCAGCCUGGCUUGCUUUCCCCCGCCAUCGAACUGGAGGUCACCAUCUUGGGUGACCGCCGGCGGAGGGGUGCAACCGGGCUGCAUGAUGAAAAUCCUUGAAGCCGAACGAUGGCUGAAAGGUACCAACUCCCACGGAGUUGCGUUCCCCCAACGACAAGGCGGAAGGACUGCAGGCAUCCCCCAUCAGGGGGUUCGGAAGGUGGAAAGACACGAUGCAUAAGGGAGCACGAAGACAUGGUCGCCUUUCAAGGGGGUCACCCUCCAUUUAAAGGCGACUCUCCCUACUUGCGUCCCCAGCCGUCGCAGGCUGAGUCUUCUCUAACACGUUCCAAGGUCCUCCCCCUACGACGCGGGGGCUGGGUCCCACACGUCAUGCAAUCCGACCUAGAGCAGAAGAAGCCAAACCGCCGCGCGCGGUGCAUGCAACCGCCCAGCGGUUACAAGCGGCCCUCCAUUUUUGCCCCGACCAGCGGGCGAAAGGGCGGGCAGCCAUGCAGGCGGCAUGCAACCGCGCCAAGUGGGCGCACUUCUCCGACUUCCAACACGCCCAGCAUGGAGGCCCAGGCCCACGCGUCAUGCAACCGGCGCGCCGGAUGCUGCGUGCGAGCAACUGCACCGCCACCCACGCCACUGCCACGCCUCCUCGACUGCGGAACCAGUACCGCGACUCGAGGCAACCCUACGCACGACCCAGCAGCACCAGCCUGGCGCGACGGUCAAUGCGGCCAAAAAUGGGCCGGCAGUAAUGGCGGUGGCAGGCGGGCAGGAGCAGCGGUCACGUCGUCAGCCAGGCAUACGUCCCACCCGGAGGCAGCGAGAGAACCCUCUCUCACGGCGUGAAGACGACGUGCCCGUGUUCCGUUCCUCGAACGGCUCGCGCACGCGCAAUGGCCGCCCCGCGAACCGCACGCCCCGUCGCAUUAACUCCGCGGCGGGACAGGCGGCGCCUCUGGCAGGAGAAGCAAGCGACGCUUCGCCUUCGCCAUAAUGACCGCAUCAAAAAAGGUACGCCAUGUCAUUCGAUUUCGAAUCCUUUUCCUUUUCCUCUUUCUCUCUCUUACGACAGGGACCGGGAAAGGGGGAUACCCCGAAAAGGAUCCUUCUCCGUGAAGGAACCAGGCUCCAAGCCUCCCUACUAAUCAGAGGUUCGAAGGCUGGCCCCUCGGAGGGGUUCAACAGCCGCCUCAGAGCGCGUGGGCUCCACACCCACUACUGGUCAGAGGUUCGAAGGCCGGCCCCUCGAAGGGUUCAAAGACCGCCUCAGGCUACUCGGGCUCCGCGCCCACUACUGAUCAGGGGUUCGAAGGCUGGCCCUCGAAGGGUUCACAGCCACCUCAGACGCAGAGCGAGGGAUGACCAUGGGUACGUUCGAUACAUAACCAAGGCUCGGGCUACGCUCCCGAGGUACCCUAGGACAUUUCCGAGACCAGCGGGAACGAUCUUGUAACGGAAUCCCAUCAGAGGGAGGCAUCAAGCCCUCGGACCCCGUCGACAGGGGACCGGGUCCGGCAGAUCACCCGCAGGUACUUUUGGGCGCGCCUCUGGGCCUCUAGCCGACCCCUAGCAAAUGGGGCACGGACAUCCGCUCGGAUUACCCGCCAGCAGCUCACUGGAGACACCAUGUUCGGCGCCCACCGAGGGCAGCAUGGCGCUUUCCCCCCUUCUCCUUUCGGAAAGGCGACGCAGGGGCGUAUGUAAAAAAGUCGAGUCUGUCCCUGAUCGUCCUCUCGCCCUGUGCAGAGGCUCGAGGGCUGCUCUCGCGAACCCGGCUCCGGCCAAACCGUUGACAGCGUCAAUAAACCAGCCCGAGAAUUUGGGACCCGACCGUGCACCCGGGCUACGACCAGCUCGCAUGAGGGAACGACCAGACCAGCCAAAGCAUUGCGCGAGGCAUUAAGACAUCGGAGGAGUCAAACCACUCCUCCGAGGCCUCGGGGGCUACACCCGGCGGGUGCGCUCGCGCGCACCCACCGGAACAAAACGCAACCGAGAAAGGCUGGUCCCCUUGCAAAAAAGUGCGACAAAAGCCUCCAAGCGAGUGUUAACACUCCCUUCGAGGCUCGGGGGCUACUGUCGGGGACCAUAAUUAGGGGUACCCUCAAGGCUCCUAAUUCUCAGCUGGUAACCCCCAUCAACACAAAGCUGCAAAGGCCUGAUGGGUGCGAUUAAGUCAGGGAUCGGUCCAUUCGCGGGACUCGAUCACGCCUCGCCCGAGCCUAGCCUCGGGCAAGGGCAGCCGACCCCGGAGGAUCUCCGUCUCGCCCGAGGCCCCCCUCCAGCGACGAACAUACUUUCGGCUUGCUCGAGGCCCUGUCUUCGCCAAGAAGCAACCCUGACCGAAUCGUCGCGCCGACCGACCAAAUCACAGGAGCAUUUAAUGCAAAGGUGGGCUGACACCUUUAUCCUGACGCGCGCCCUUCUGUCGACAGAGCCGAAGUGACCGCAGUCACUUCGCCGCUCCACUGACCGACCUAACAGAAGGGCAGCGCUGCCUGCGUCGCACCGACUGCAGUGCCACUUGACAGAGUGAGGCUGACAGGCAGUCAGGCCCGACCUCAGGCACCAUAGGAAACUCCGCUCCGCCCGACCCAGGGCUCGGACUUGGGCUAAGCCCCGGAAGACGACGAACUCCGCUCCGCCCGACCCAGGGCUCAGACUCGGGCUAAGCCCCGGAAGACGGCGAACUCCGCUCCGCCCGACCCAGGGCUCAGACUGGGGCUAAGCCCCGGAAGACGGCGAACUCCGCUCCGCCCGACCCAGGGCUCGGACUCGGGCUAAGCCCCGGAAGACGGCGAACUCCGCUCCGCCCGACCCAGGGCUCGGACUUGGGCUGAGCCCCGGAAGACGGCGAACUCCGCACCGCCUGACCCAGGGCUCGGCCUUGGGCUAAGCCUCGGAAGACGGCGAACUCCGCUCCGCCCGACCUAGGGCUUGGACUUGGGCUAAGCCCCGGAAGACGACGAACUCCGCACCGCCCGACCCAGGGCUCGGACUUGGGCUCAGCCCCAGAAGACGACGAACUCCGCUUCGCCCGACCCCAGGGCUCGGACUCAGCCCUGGCCUCAGCCGACGGUCUCCGCCUUGCCCGACCCAGGGGCUCGGACUCGACCACAGCCACGGAAGAUAGACUCGACCUCGACCUCGGAGGAGCCUCCACAUCGCCCAACCUAGGGCACGGACCGACCACGUCGACAGGAAGCGCCAUCAUUACCUUACCCCAAGCUGACUCAGGCUACGGGGAACAAGACCGACGUCCCAUCUGGCUCGCUCUGCCAGAUAGGCAAUGAUGGCGCCCCGCACGCUCUGUGACGACGGCGGCUCUCAGCCCCCUUACGGAAGCAAGAGGACGUCAGCAAGGACUCGACAGCCUCGACAGCUGUCCUUCCGCCAGGCUCCAGCGCUCCUUCGACGGCCACGACACCACACGAACCGGGUGCCAAAACCUCUCCGGCUGCCACGACGGCGUGUACUUAGGGCGCUAGCUCUCCUCCGCUAGACACGUAGCACUUUGCUACACCCCCCAUUGUACACCUGGAUCCUCCCCUUACGCCUAUAAAAGGAAGGACCAGGGCCCUCUUACAGAGGGUUGGCCGCGCGGGGACGAGGACGAGACAGGCGCUCGCGUGAGGCCGCUCGCUCCCUCUCCCACGUGGACGCUUGUAACCCCCUACUGCAAGCGCACCCGACCUGGGCGUGGGACGAACACGAAGGCCGCGGGAUUUCCACCUCUCUCACGCCUGUCUCCGGCCACCUUUCUCCCCCCUUCGCGCUCGGCCUUGCGCCGACCCAUCUGGGCUGGGGCACGCGACAACAUUUCACUCGUCGGCCCAGGGACCCCCCGGUCUCGAAACGCCGACAGGUAUGUGGAGUGAUAAAAUGAGGCACCAUCUAACCUCACUCCACGAAAGCAUAUGGGAUAUUGUUGAGUUUGGAGCGCAGGCACCGAAGGUGGGGGACAAGGACUAUGACUCGGACGAGGUUGCCCAAAUUAGGCACUUUAACUCCCAAGCCACAUCUAUGCUCCCCGCCUCCUUGUGUCGAGAGGAGUAUAACAAGGUGCAAGGGUUAAAGAGCACCAAAGAAAUUUGGGACGUCCUCAAGACCGCACACAAAGGGGACAAGGUGACCAAGAUCACCAAGCGGGAAACGAUCGAGGGGGAGCUCGGUCGAUUCGUCAUCAACAAAGGAGAAGAGCCACAAGCAAUGUACAACCGACUAAAAACAAUGGUGAACCAAGUGCGCAACCUCGGGAUCACCAAAUGGGAUGACCAUGAGAUGGUCAAGGUUAUUCUUAGAUCCCUCGUAUUUCGUAAUCCUACUCAAGUUCAAUUAAUACGUGGGGAUCCUAGAUAUAGACUAAUGUCUCCCGAGCAAGUGAUUGGCAAGUUUGUGAGCUUUGAACUUAUGAUCAAAGACUCCAAACACAUUGUCAACUUAGAGCAAGGCGCCACCUCCACACCCGAGGUGCAACCCAUCGCAUUCAAAGUGACGGAAGAAGAGAAGGAGUCUACAUCAAGUAGGCUUCCAAUCGACGCCUCCAAGCUCGACAACGAGGAAAUGACACUCAUCGUCAAGAGCUUCCGCCAAAUCCUCAAGCAAAGGAGGGGAAAGAACUAUAAGUCCCACUCCAAGAAGGUGUGCUACCAGUGUGGUAAGUCCGGUCACUUCAUUGCUAAAUGUCCAAUUUCUAGUGAAAGUGACAGGGACGACGACAAGAAGGGGAAGAAGAAAGAAAAGAAGAGGUACUACAAGAAGAAGGGCAGUGAUGCCCACAUAUGUUGGGAAUGGGACUCCGAUGAGAGCUCCACCGACUCCUCCUCCGACGAGGACGCCACCAACAUCGCUGUCAACAAGGGCCUCCUCUUCCCCAACGUCGGCCACAAGUGUCUAAUGGCCAAGGACGGCAAGAAAAAGAAGGUACACUCUAGAGCCACCCCAAAAUAUACAACAUCUAGUGAUGAGGGUAGCUCAAGUGAUAGUGAAGACAAUUUAAUGUCUUUUUUUGCCAACCUUAGCAUGGACCAAAAGAAGAAAUUGAAUGAAUUAAUAGAAGCUAUUAAUGAGAAGGAUGAACUCUUGGAUAGCCAAGAGGACUUCCUCAUUAAAGAAAACAAAAAAAUUGUUAAGUUGAAAAAUGAUUAUGCUCAGGAAGUAGAAAAAUGUGAAAACCUAUCUAAAGAGCUUAGCAUUUGCUAUGAUUCAAUUUCUAGCCUUAGAAAUGAAAAUGCUAGUUUAAAUUCUAAGGUUAAAGAAUUAAAUGUUUGCAAUGAUUCUAUUUCCUGUCUUAGAAAUUGUUGGUCACUUGUUCUCAAAUGCUGAGUUAAGAACAAGGCAACACAAAUGUUAAUGGUUAAAGACCUUCGUCUUUCGAAGCAUUAUUUCCCUUAGGGUAUAAUGAUCUUCAGACGAAGGUCAUGAAGGGCAUAUCUUCGUCAUCUCAAUAUACAAAAAUAUAGGCAAGGACGUACAAAACAUAGAAAGACCAUGAUUAAUCAUAUUAAAUCAUUAAAUCAUGUAUAUAUUGACAUUAUAUAAUAAUGAACAAACAUUAAUGAUAUUAAGUUACAUUAGUACCUUCGGCUUGACAGAAGGUAAAAGUUCGAGGGUUACGUGCGAGCGAUUACAAGUCAGCGUGAACAGUACGGUGUUACUGUUCAUCUAUUUAUAGGCACAGGACGCAGCCUGGGUAAAAUUACAUUCAUAUCCCUAACACUUACUAUUAGCUAAAAGGUAAGCUGUCGAGGACUAAGUAGUCUUUUCCCUUUUAAGUCGGUUUCAUUCUCCAUCGUCAUCUUUGCGCUAAGCCGAAGCUUCUCCAUCCAUAGCUUCGGAACUGGUCCAUCCUUCUUCCAGGUCACGCCUUUCAUACUAUGUACACCUUCAUCUCAAAGCCAAAGCCUCAUGUGACAAUAUACUAUACUGGAAGAUAUGUUAGUCGUGUUUUUGAGGACCUUCGAAAGACGAAGGCCCCCAACAGUAGCCCCUCGCAGUAUUAAUUUGUUCUUGUAUCUUAACGAAUUCAGACUGUGACGUGAACGAAGGCCUUUAGCCGAAGGUCCGAAAAAACACUUUCCCUUCGCUAGAAUAGCGAAAGUCAAUGACAAAUGGGGCCCGCCAAGUUGCAAUGCACGAGGCAUAUAAAUAUAAACCCAUAACGAUAACAUCUGCUGCGCCAUUUCAAUUGUUUGUGUUGUUUUCUCAAGUUUUAGAUUUCUUGCUGUCACAUUUCACUUGUUUUGUGAGCUUCGGCAUUUGCACAAGUGUUCGCUAUACGUCUAAAGAGAAUAUGUCUGAGGAGAAGAAGAUUGACCCUGCUCUUACUGGGUUUUACGAAGCUAUGGAAAAAAUAAACAUAGAGAAGAUUACAAACGAAAUAAUGGCUGAUUUGUCUGAAGAUUCUAACGAUAGUGAUGACUAUGAUGUGGAAAGUGAAGACGAAGAUGCGGAAAAUCGGCCCUGGCGACCAAGCCACAGCAUCUUCGGAAAAUCAUCCAUUAAGCAGAGCCAAAUUGACGCUAUGAAAGGGAACUAUUUCUGAGAUAUUUCAAUUGUGAGAGCUGGAGGAGAUAGUGCUGCACCUGCUCUCGAAGAGAAUGAGGUGGUUGUUUAUAAGAGUUUUAUGAAGGCUGGGCUUCGGUUCCUAUUGAGCAAAUUUCUGGUUGAGGUGUUGAAGACCUUCGAGAUUUUCCUGCAUCAAAUUACUCCCGAAGCCAUUGUUAGGAUGGGGGUUUUUAUUUGGGCCGUGAGAAGCCAAGGGAUGGAACCAAGCGCAAAAUGCUUCUGCAAUAUGCACGAGCUGCUGUACGAGAUGAAGGCUACUGGCAAGGAUCAAUAUCACAACAAUUUUGGUUGCUACGGCUUCGUGCCCUGCGCUGAUGUAAGUUAUCCGGUCCCAACAUUCCGAAAAAGGUGGCCUGGGGCCUGGAUGGAAGAAUGGUUCUAUGUUGAAAAUAAUUUAACUGAGAGGGAAGAUAUAAAAGGAAUUAUUCAACGUCCCAUCUGGUCUCGCUUCGGCAUCAGGAGGCCAGCCACCACUCUUGGGAAUGAUAUAGAGGCAUGCUAGAGAAGCUUAAACACCGUGUGCACUUUUAUUGGUACAAGAGACCUGAUUCAAGAACAUAUCGCUUACAGAGUAUGGCCGCUCGUGAAUGAGUGGGAGAUGCCGAAGGAAGCUGCUGCCGGGUCUAGUCAGGGUGGCCUGGUCUAUCUAAAGUAUACAUUCAGAUACAGAGGCGAGUUUGAUGAGCCAAAUGAUGAAUGGUUGAGCAGUAUCACUACUAGAAAUAUGCUUAUUUAAGACAUACAUCUUAAGACAAAUAUCAGUGCAUUUUAUAGAAGCGUCUUUUAUCAUAUGGUGCUGAGUAAGGUAAGACAGUUUGUUGGACAUCCGUCUUUAAUGAAGAAGGUUUUUGAGACAGAUAUAUGGUUGGAAAUGUCUUAUAUUGAUUUAAUACAGUUUGAUUUUGAAAACCGUCUCAAAUAAAUAUACCUUUUGAGGCAUUAAGUUCACAAGAAGUGUCUUUUAUUUUGGUUAGUAUAUUAGACACUUAUGUAUAUGAAACUAUCUCAAAUAAAGAUAUUAUUAGAGUCAUCUAGACUAUACAAAAUUGUCUUAGAUGUUAGUAAGUAUACUAGAAACUUGUAAACAUAAAACCGUCCCGUACGAUAUUUCUGAUAAGACAUAUUGUGAAAAACAUAGUCAAUAGUAAAUUCUGAUUAGAUUGAACUAAACAUUUUUUGGAAUUUAAAAUGAACUAGUUAGCUGACUGUAUGUUCGUACGGUUUCUAUAUAUCAUAUAGGUAAAAAAUCUUGCUUAAAAUAAGAAACUUCUUCAAAUAAAAUUAUACGUUUGAAAUAUGAUUAUUUUUUAUUUUCUCAUUAACAUUAUGUUUAUAGUUAUAAUAUCAUCUCUUUGUACGGUAUAAGCAACCUGAUAAGCGGUGGUUAAUGCCACAGAUAUUUCUCUUUAUAUCCGUAUUGCACAUAUAUACAAUACAUUUUAUUAAUAUAGCGGUGGUUAAUGCCAUCUCCUGUGUCCGACGCCCAUCGCCGAGGCUGAGAGGCAAGAUCCGUCAUCUUCAGUGCCCCCAGCGCGGCGCCCCAAACUCCCAGGCUAUGCUUUUGUUUAUGUUUUAUUGUCAUUUCAUGAUUCAUGACAUGGCAGGCUUGUAACGCCCCGAAUUUUGGAGUUGAAUUUUUUCUUUUCUUCACUCGCCAAAUUCGGGCUUUACCCUUUUCUUUUCCUUUUCUCCUUGCUAAGCCUUGAUCUUUUCAAAAGUUAUAGCGAGGAUAAGCUCGACAACUGGUGUGAGUAAACCCUAAAAAUAUUUUCUUUGGUUGUUGCAUCAUGCUGAACCACGCAUCUUUUUCUUGUGAUACUUGCUUGGUUUCCAUAAAGAAUGCGCUUAGUAGAAGGUUAGAGGGAAAUAGAUAAUGGGAAAAUAGGAAAAAUAAAUAAAAAGAAGGGAAUUCCCCUCACUCUCCCCCUCUUGGGCCGUCGUCCCGCGGCCCAGCUCGGCCGCGCCCCCUCCCUCCCCCUUAGCCCAGCCGAGCCCCCUCUCCCUUGGGCCGGCUCUCAGCCAUGGCCCAGCCGGCUCCCAGCCGCGGCCCGCCCUGCCUCUCCCCCCGCCUUGGGCCGAAUUGGCGCUGCGGUGGCCCAACCGCCCCACCCCGCGUCCUGCGCGCGCGCCGCGCGCGUGGGCGCAACCGCCGCCGCCGCCAUCCCAGGUGGGCCCCGCCCGUCAGCCGCGCCCUCCCCCAAAACCGCCUCCCUCUUUCUCUCUCCCCUCUACCCCCUAGCGCACGACUCCCUCUUCCCCCUCCACCUCGUCGCCGAUCGGACCCGCCCCGCCGCCGUCCGCCCGCGCCGCCAUCGCCCCUUCCGUGGUGAGCCCUGGCCCCCUCCUUCUUCCUCCCCCUCUCUCCUUCUUCCCCUUCCCCUUCCCCUGCUCGUGCGGCCCAGCGCGGUGCGCGGCUCGGCACGCCGGCGCGCGGCCAUGGCGCCCCUGUCGCGUCCGCUCGGCCUCGCGCGCCACCCCCCUCGCGCCCUUCCCCUGCGCGCGGUCGCGGCGGCUCCGGCCAGCGCGCGGUCCCGUCCGGCCAGGACGCGACCCGUCCAUGGCGCGACCCUCUCUCCCUCCCCGCUCCGGCGCGCACGGCUUCCCCUGCCCCGACGUGCUCGUCCGCCGUCCCUGGCGUGCCCGCUCGGCCUCGCCGCCCCUGCCCGUGGUGCGGUUCCCCGCCCCGGCGUGGCCUCGCCUCGGCGCGGCCCGACCUCGCUCCCCCGGCCGCGGCGCGCGCGGUCCCGGCCCCCUCCCUACGCAGCCUCGCCUUGCCGGCCCCGGCGCGCUCGCCUGGCGCGGCCCGGCUCGCUCGCCCUGCGCGCGCGGCCCGGCUCGCUCGCCCUGCGCGCGCGGCCCCUCCCCGCGCAGCAGCCCGUGGCGACGCGGCGUGGCACGCCCGGCGUGCGCGUGCCCGCCUCGGCGUGCUCCGUCCCUCCCCUGUCCCGGCGUGGCCUUGAGCUCGGCUAGCUUCGCGGUCCCCCGCGUUUGGCCCCGGCGUGGCCCCGUUGCCGCUCGCGGCGCGCAACGCGCAGCUCGGCCCCGACGUGUGCGUGGCUCGUUCGCGUCACGUUAGCGUGGCUUUGCGCGCGCAUGUGCUUGUGUGGUGCGCACGGUGCUUUGGCACGGCUCGUCGUGCCCUCGGCGCGCUCGUCUACCCCCCCCCCCCCCGUGUAUUUUAUGCGCGCUAAGCACGUUAUUCAUAUCAAUAAAUGGAAACUCAAUUUAGAAAUUGGUUACGUUAGUUAUUUCAUGUAGCUAAUCUUGGAUCUCGUUUAAUGUUGAUCAAUUGAAAAUAGUUAUAAUUUUAUUAGUGCAUGUGGCUAAUAUUUGUUAGUGUAACUCGAGGGAAUUAGAUCACGUAAUGAUUAGUUAUGUAUCUACCCGUAAUAUGCUUCGACUAUAGCUUUAACCACUGUGAGACCUUCCUUCUUCUCUUUCUAGCCAUGGCGAAUGCAAUAUCGUAUGUCAUAUCUUAUGCAUAUUUGACUUAUCUGCUUUCUUGUGUGGUGUACUGUUUAUUUCCUAAUUCGAAUGGAUGGAUGUAUGUAUGUUUGCGCUCGCAUAGAGAACGAUCUGGUUGAGGAGCCCAAAGAACUCGCAGGAGAAGCCCCUGAGCAGCAGUCGGUUGGUGGAGGCAAAUGUCCUUUGACCUAUCUCUGUCCUAUACAUUCUUUAAUUCACCUCCUGCAUUUCACAUUUAUACCUAAGGAUUGACUAGCUUUUGCUAUCCAUGUCCUUGUUUACCUAUUUGGGUUGGAUUAUUAUUGUUUAGCUUUAUGCUAUUGCUCAACUCUAAUCAAUGAACAUGAUGAGAAUUAUCAAUGAUACACUGUUUUCCCCUCCUUUAUUAUGAUGUGAUACUUGUGGCAUUCAAGGGGGGCUUGAGCGGUUUCUCGAGUGCCUCUCCGUAAGGACCUGUUUGUUGGAUGACCGCCCGGGAAAACAGUGCAACCAUGAGGGUGGAAUGAGAUGCCCUUAGCUGAAUAAUUAGAGGAACCGGGGUGUAGUUCGCUUAGCCGUCGUGCCGUCAAUGGGGCUCGGUGUAUGCGGCUCGCUCUGCCAAGUUUGGGUUUGCCCCUUGGGGAGGAGUGCGGUGCAUUUAGGAAACCUAAUGGGCGGCUACAGCCCCGGGGAAUCUUUGUAAAGGCUACAUAGUGAUGCCCUGCUGGGUCACCUUGGUAGUGUUUAAUGGAGAGUCAUGAUCUCCGGGCAGAAUGGGAAUCACGACUUGUGGGUAAAGUGCACAACCUCUGCAGAGUGUAUGAAAACUGAUAUAUCAGCCGUGCUCGCGGUUAUGAGCGGCCAAGGGAGCUCCAGUGAUUAGUGGUACUUGAUCAGAGAUGUUCGGAUUGAAGGUGGCAAUGAGAUUGAUGGUUUUGGUUAUGACUAUGGUACUGGUAAGUGGUAUUCUUUCCGUUUGGAAAGGGUACAUCGGGUUAAUAACUUGGGUUAUUGCUAAAACCUGGCUUUCUACUAGUAAAUAAUAACCUGACCAACUAAAAGCAACUGCUUGACUUAACUCCACAUAAAGCUAGUCCACUACAGCCAAACAGGAUACUUGCUGAGUAUGUUGAUGUGUACUCACCCUUGCUCUACACACCAACCCCUCCCCCCAGGUUGUCAGCAUUGCAACCACUGCUUAGGAGAAGAUGAAGCCGUGGAAGGAGACUUCCAGGAGUUCCAAGAUUACGACGAGUUCUAGGCGUGGGUUAGCAGCAACCCCCAGUCGGCUGUCUGUGAAGGUCGCGUGUAUCUACGUUUCGUUUUCACACUUUGAUUAUUGUAAAGACUAUGUGGAUGUCUCAGACAUAUGAUGUAAUCGACUAUUAUUACCCUUUUAUGUUAUCAUUUGAGCAAUGUGUGAUGAUUUCCAGUUAUGUAACUGCUGUGUACGUGAAUUGCUGAUCCUGGCACGUACAUGGUUCACAUUCGGUUUGCCUUCUAAAACCGGGUGUGACAAGGCUCCAGGCUAUGCUUUAGACAUUUAAUAAGUAUAUUCAGCUCAAAUGAAACGAGAUCUAAACCAGAGGGUUAAAGGCAUGUUUGGUUUGUGGCUAAAUGUGCCACACUUUGCCUAAGUUUAGUCGUCCGAAUUGAGGGCCUGUUUGGUUUACUACCUAACUUGCCACACUUUGCCUAACUUUUCUGCCUAAGGUUAGUUCUUCAAUUCGGAUGAUUAACCUUAGACAAAGUGUGGCACAGUUAGCCGUGAACCAAACAGACCCUGAAUAAAUAACCUUAGGCGGAAAAGUUAGGCAAAGUAUGGCAACUUAGGUAGCGAACCAAACAUGUCUUAAGUCUCACAUCAUACCACCCGUUCCUAUUUUUCCUAAAGCAGGGGCAGGGCAAACCGUAUUGUUGGCUCUGCCUAGGGUUUUAGCACCUGCCGCCGCAGCCUCCCUUCUACUGCCGCCGCAACCUCCCCAUCCUUCGAAUCCCAUCCGACCUAGCCCUACAACCCACCGGACGACGAGCAGCGAGGCCCGCGGCCGAGAUGGACCAGUACCUGAGGGUGGAGUGGCCGUGGAACGAGUCAACCAUCAAGGAGAACGAGAUCCGCAUCACCGCGCAGGGCCUCAUCCGCAACUAUGUCUCCUACGCUACCUCCCUGCUCCAAGUGCCUGGGCUUGUCCUCGCCAUCGCCGUCGUAUCGUAUUGUACUUAGGAUGCGCUGUUUUGUUCGAGUCUCGUCCCUGUCGAUUCGAAGAGAUCCCCAGCAACAUGAGGGAGGUGUUCCUGACCGGCGCCACCUCCAAGCUCCAUCACGCUCUACCUCUGCAGGAAGAAGAUCAGAGUCUUGGUAAGUGCUACACAUAAUCUGCUCAGCAUCAUCGAUCCAUAGAUGAUGACCUGUGUCUUGCAUCUAACCUCUCUCUCUCUGUCUCUUAGAUGUUCACGGUGUUGUCGGAGAGGUUCCUGAAGAUCCAGAGGGAGGCGCCGCUGGAGUACCAGCAGUACCUCGUGCAGGUGACCAAGUACCAGGCCGCACAGAACUGCAAGGUACGUAUGCACGCAUGGUUACAUUUACUAUAGAACUGGAGUUAUUUUUUGAUGCAAAGGCUGCCAGGUCAUGGUGAUUUCACGUCCGUUAGGCUCGAGAGGUGGACUCAAACAUCCAAGUUUUGCAAGUUUUGAUGUUGGAUGUUAAAUUUCUAUGCUCACUCCUCGUUUGGUUAUUGAUGUACUAUUUCCAUCUCAUGUCACAAAUUUGGCAUAAGGAAUGGGUAUUGGUGGCUAUUGACUAUGUUUGUUUCCACGUAUUAUACAUGUACAAUGGAACAUUUGAUAAUAGUUUUGCAUGAACUAUUGGCGUUGGCUAUCUAAAAGGACAGAAAGGUAGACAUGAGCAACAGAUCUCGCUCCAUGGGCUGAAACUGGGAUUCGUGAUGGUCAGCUAAGCAUACCUUCGCCUUCAAAUUUGCGUAGCUUCUUUUUUAUUCUGCAAGUUGUUUGGUCUGCCGUUCAAAUGCCUUAUUAUUCUGCGAGCUGUUUUAAGAUUGGGCCUCAAUUUUUUUUCCAGGCAGAAAGUGCUACUGCCGCUCUCAACUGUAGCGGUGUGGUACUGGGAUCCUUGCCAAUAAGGUAAAACUCUGACUGAUCUUCUUACGCUUUGCAUUGAGGAAGGAGCUCUUCUGGGCGGUUGGAUAUCAGAGUCGUUCUAGUGUGUUUUCAGGGUGAGCCCGUCCAAAACGCCCGUGCGUCCCCGCGCCCCUCGCCAGCUGAUGUCGUCCUAGGUAUACAUACAGGAGGUGCUGACGAUGACACUGCUCAUAUAUAAGUAAUAGAGAUAGACAUGUAUGAAAAGGGUCUUUUGUUUUCAAGUAGUGUGUAGUUGCUGUUACUUUUAACAGCUAAUGCAAUCUGAAUGAGUCACCUAUGAAUGCCAUACUGGAAUUUGUUGCGCUUUUGUUGAUCAUUAUUAUUUUACAAUCUAGGCUAGGGGAUUGAAGAAGCACUUGAAGAGGCUCAAUGCGCCCAAGCAUUGGAUGCUCAACAAGCUUGGCAGAGCUUUUGUAAGUAAACAAUAUUUUCUAGCUUUGGUACCUACAAUCUUCUGUACUUCCCCAUUUGUCUGAUGCUUCAGGUUGGUCUUUUUUUCUGUAGGCUCCCAAGCCAUCUUCUGGACCUCACAAGUCCAGGGAGUGCCUGCCUUUGAUCCUCAUCAUCAGGAACAGGCUCAAGUAUGCACUGACGUACCGUGAGGUCAUUUCUAUCCUGAUGCAACGCCAUGUACUUGUUGAUGGCAAGAUCAGGACUAACAAGACCUACCCUACUGGGUUCAUGGGUAUGCCUAUAUCUCUAUUAAUGCAUAAAGAUACCUAUACACAUAUUUUGGUUGCUGAUUUGUGGUGUCAUUUUUUUGGCAGAUGUCAUUUCCAUCCCUAAGACAAACGAGAACUAUAGGCUGCUUCCGUCUUCACCCAAUCAGGGAUGAGGAUGCCAAGGUUAGGCCAAUUCUCUUACACAUCAUCUCUCAUUGUUCUAGUUGAGCAUGAUGAUCUUGGUAGCUAUGUGAGGUUGCUGUUUUUCAUUUAGAUCUGUGUACCUUAACCUUGCUAUACUGUCCAUAUGUGUUGUGUGCAUGAAAGUCUUGCAUUGAAAAUGUCAUGUGCUACAAUCAUUAGGACUAUUAAUAGAUGUUGCUCUGUCUAUCUAUCCAUUUACAUCGCUGGAAAUUCCCAUGCCCUUUCAUAGUACGCCUGUGAAAUGUUCACUGUUUUUCUAUUGGUUUUAUGUGCAGUUCAUGCUCUGUAAGGUGGGGUCUGUUCAGUUUGGCCAGAAAGGCAUCCCCUACCUGAACACCUAUGGCGACCGCACCAUCCGCUACCCCGACCCGCUCAUCAAGGCCAACGACACCAACAAGAUCGAUCUAGAGACCAACAAGAUCAUGGACUUCAUCAAGUUUGACGUCGGCAACGUGGUCAUGGUGACCGGCGGGAGGAACACCGGGCGUGUAGGAGUGAUCAAGAACAGGGAGAAGCACAAGGGCAACUUCGAGACCAUUCACGUGCUGCUUGGAGCUUUUUGCUAUGUCUAGUUUUCUCCUAUUUGUUGUACAGGAAAACAUAGAAUGGAAUUCAAAUUUGGUGGCCGCAAAAGAGUAGAGACUUGUUUCAUAUAAAGUUAGGCUUAACAUUAGUGCAAACAGUUGUAUUUUAGUUUAGAUUUAGAGUACACUUAUGUAUGCGUUGUUUGACAAUGCUUAUUUAUGAUAUAUUGAAUGGUACUUAUUUAUAUUAUAUUAAUUAUAAUGUUGUUCAAUAUAUGUGUAUGUAUAUUUCUCUUUCAAAUUAUUAUAACGUGAUAUCUGAUACUGCCGUGUAAGUCAUUUUGUUUAAAUCUUAAUAAGACGGUCACCAAAAUGUCUAAUAUCAGUCUCCUAAAUAAGACGAUUUCUAAAACGUCCAUUAUUAGUCACCUAAAUAAGAUGGUUUUCUAUUGUAAUCAUCUAUUAUUGUAGGAUAUUCGAGACAGUUUGAUAAAUACUUUAUGACUUAUAAUGUUUGUAUUCUCUACGGUCCUUUAGAAGCAGUGUCUUAAACAAAAACCUAAUUCAAGACGGUUUAUCGGACAAAAUGACUUAAACAAAUACCUUUUUCAGACGGUUAUAAAUUAAAAAUUGUCUUAUAUAAUAUCUUUUAAGACGGUUUAUAACCAUCUUAAAAGUGGGACAUCUUUUACGACUCCAUCAAAUUUGGACACUUCAUAAGCGUCUUAAGAACUAAAAAUUAACCGUCUCAUAUAACAUGUUUUGUAGUAGUGUAUUGAGGCAACUAGCGAUGAAUUGCUUGGGGCUUACACUAGAGCCGAAGAUGAUGCUUUGACCUCAGCCUUUGGAGGUCGAGGCAAGAAUAGGCUGAACAGAGUUUUCGACGUGAUUAGCUUCAUAUACCCUGAUUAUUGCUAUCCCUCGCGAAAGCAGGGAAAGAAGAGAAAAACCACCGCUUCGUCAUUCCCUAUUGUGCCGAAGGGCAAAGAUCAAGGUCUUGAUGCACCGGCCGAGAUACAUUGAGAUGACCACAUUGCCGAAGCUAAGUGAAGGGACAUCUUCCACUGCCGAAACAGAACAACCUGCUUCUGCCAUUCCCAGGGAAGACCUGACUGAAUUACCGAAGGUUCCUACAGUCGGACCAGCCGAAACGCCGAAACUUGAUGCCGAAGCGAAAGAAGAGGCGGCCAAAGAGCUAGAGCUAGGGGAAAAGGUAGAGCUGCCAAAAAUCUUGAGCCCACCAGCAGAGUCAGAAUUGCCGAAGAUAACAAGAGCUCCUGCAACAACUCCUAAGAGGAGGAGAAUGGCUAGCGUGCUAGACACUGUCAUGGAGACAACAAGGGCAUUAACUCCUGCCCCUGCAAAGAAAAUUGUCGAAGCUGCUAUAAGUCGCGCUGAAACUGAAGAUGGGCCCUCAGUGCCUGCUGAGACGGAGCCUACCGCAACUGAGAUAGGGCUAAGCAAGAAUCUCUAGAUGUUGGCAUGGCUAUGGAGAAGGAUGUGGCCGAAAAAGCUAAAUCUCCUGCUCCUGAAGCACCGUCCGAAGAUCUUGACUUUAUUAUUCGACAUGCUUCGGGAAAAGACUAUCUAAAGGAGAAAUUGCAGAAGCCAAACACUAUGCCCGAGAACUGAAAUACCUGAAGGGGCCUUAGUGUUCAACGACACUGACGAUGAUGAUUUCCUAUACUUUCUCCCGGACAAUAAAGAAAUAUCCGUCUACCGGGAGAUGGCCAAAAAUAUGGGAUUUCCGAAGCUCGAAGCUGGCCUCUCCGCUAUGUCAAAAGAUGACCUUGCGGAUAGCCUUGCAUACAACAGUCUGAAGGUAUGAAAGUGAUGAACUUAAAAAUAGAUUAUCUUGUCUUGUAUACUCGUGCUGAUUCUAUCUUUUUGCAGGGCUUAAUUCUUAGCAACACUUUGAGGGCGCAAAAGAAUGCAGAAGAUGAAAGCUGCGUGAUAGCCCUUGGCAACCUUCGGUCAGAAGUUAUCAAACUAAGAAAUGAAGCCUUGGAGAAGGAUAAAAUUCUACUUUCAUUGGUGGAUAAAGUGAAGGAUGAUGAAGCGAAAUUUAAUGCUCAAUCCGAAGCUCCUAAAGUCGAAAUUGAAGACCUUCGGAAAAACUUGCCGAAGCUAAUGAAAAUUUUGCACUUGCAAAAUCUAGUCAAGAAAUAAGUGAAUGGUCGAACGCUAGGCUGGAGAAAAAUGUUGAGGAGCUUCACGAAUCCAAGGAAAGGUGCUUUAAGAAAUCCUUGGAUUGCGUAAGAAAAUUGAAAACAGCUUUGCCAAAGUAGGUGCUUAUUCUUCCGAAGAGAAUUUUAUUCGAGGUGACCCCAAUGGCGUUAUUGAUUGGAUAAGCGGGGAAGCCGAAGCUUUUGAAGAGAUCUUGAGCGAUCGUGGGGAUAUCUGUGCUUUCACUGGCGCUAGAGGUAUUGUGGCAAUUAUGGAGAAGGCUGGUUGCGACCACGUUAAAGCUGCGGCCCAGACUGAAGCCGCCUUCUCUACUGACAACACGAGAGACCCUUCGGCCAAAGCUACUUUGGUGGGUGGAAAGUUUUACUCCGAUGUUUGGGUGAACGGUGGCCGAGAAUUGGCAAACAAAAUUAUAAAAAAGAAUAAAAAGAAACCCAUGAUCCCCAAGAAGAAGCUAGGCGAGCCGAAGAAGCUGCUGCGCGCGCAAGGCGUAUAGGUAUUGUUUUUGAAUUUUAGCUUCGGCGUUUAUUUUCUAGCUUCGAACUAACAGUUUGCCUAUUACAGCUGAAUUAUCACCGUUGCCCGAGCCAUACAACCCCCUAGCCGAUCUGGUCAUGAAAGAAGCACUGGAUAUAAUGAGCCUUGCUAACUCCAUCGUCGACGGAGUUGUCGACAAGCUGCUGAACGAAGCCACCGAAAAAAUACUUAAGGAAGAUUAGACUUUUUUUUGUAAUGAUACUAUGUAACAUUUGGUGUAUGGAACAAUUAAUCAGACAUGUAAAUUAUUGUAAUAUAUUUCUUUACGAUGCAUGAAAUUUAUGCACAUACCGUUUUUGAGCCUUCGGCGAAAAAACACCUUCUCUUCUUUUCAUGCUUCGUAAAGAAAGAAGCCCCUUUUUAUGUCAAAUCUGUUAUGAUGAAAUUGUGUUUGCCGAUGGUUUGCUUCGUGCCUCAGCACAUUUUCAUUCAACAAAGUAUUGCCGAAGAUCUGCUUCGUAUCCAAUCUUUUUGUCGUUGAUGCGAUAUGAUGUAUGAUGUAAUGUUAUGCGGAAUAAUGUGAUGCUUAUAUGAUGGUGAUGCCGAACACACACACACACACGCCCAGACUAGAACACACAAGACUCUGCAUCCCCUUAGGGACGUCUUUGGAGACUUUAAGCUCUACAUCCCCUUAGGAACGACUUUGGAGCUUCUUCACCUUAUAUUUCGGUGGUAUUUAAGCUCUGCAUCCCCUUAGGAACGACUUUGGAGCUUCUUCACCUUCUAUUUUGGUGGUAUUUAAGCUCUGCAUCCCCUUAGGAACGAUUUUGGAGUUCUUCACCUUCUAUUUCAAUGGUAUUUUGGCUCUGCAUUCCCUUAGGAACGACUUUUGAGCUUCGUAACUUACUUUGUGCUCCCUUAGGAACGACUUUUGUAGCUUCAAAACUUACUCUAUGCUCCCUUAGGAAUGACUUUUGUAGCUUCGAAAUUUAUUCUGUGCUCCCUUAGGAACGACUUUUGUAGCUUCGGAAGUCUGUUAGAAAGAAGCAUUUUUUCUUAAUGAUACAUGCACAAUUAUUACAUGAGACCAAAAUUAAGUCUUUCGUGACUUGUUUUUCACACAAGAAAAAUAAGAUGACAGAAAAGAAAAAAAAUACAUCAGGGGUAGGAUAUUCUUUUAGUAGAUAUGCUUGGAUUCAGGCAUAGUGCUGUUGACUGUGCGAGCUUCGGACUCCUCCCAAAAAUCACGCUGUUGUUGUGCGUGUUGGUGCCCUUCUGGUUGCUGUCUUCGAGUCUGAGUAGGUGGUAAUGGUGGUGGUAAUGGGAGCUGGGCCUAGGAAGCUUGAGAGUGACUUGCCGAAGCGACAGAAGCUACAGGUUGUUGAUUACCUACGUAUUCUGGUACAUAGGAAGAGUAGCAUGAAGCACUAUGUAGGACCUGCUUCGGCUGAUUCUACCGUGCCUUAGCUUCGGCAAUCUCCUUUUGCUUCUGAAUUGUAACUUGGCAUGUUCUUGUGGUGUGGCCCUUGUCUUCACCACAGAAUAAACAAUAUAGCCUUCUAGGCUGAUCCCCGUAUCUUCCUCCGAAGCCUCUGCCCCUUGGAACUGGUGCCUGAAAGAGCUUUGCUGUUGCCCUAAAGAUUGGGAGUUGUGUUGUGGCCUUUGAGGUUGGCUUCCUCUGUCAUCACUUAGGUUGGAAUUAUGGAUCGAUCUGACAUGCCUAGGGUGGAUUCUUCCUCCAAAGCCCCUGGUCAUCUCAGAAAACCUGUAUGCUUCUUCCCUUCUUUGGCGGAAAUCAUUAUUAGCCCGGAUGUACUCAUCCAUCUUCUGAAGAAGCUUUUCCAGGGUUUGUGAGGGUUUCCUGGCAAAAUAAUGAGCCAUAGGCCCUGGACGAAGCCCCUUGAUCAUGGCCUCAAUGACAAUUUCAUUAGGCACUAUAAGCGCUUGUGCUCUUAGAUGCAUGAACCUUCGGACAUACACCUGAAGGUACUCCUCAUGGUCCUGCGUGCACUGAAACAAAGCCUGAGCAGUGUCUGGCUUCGUCUGAAAGCCUUGGAAGCUAGUGAUUAGCAUAUCCUUGAGCUUCUGCCAUGAUGUGAUUGUUCCUGGCCUGAGAGACGAAUACCAAGUUUGAGCUACACUUUUGACUGCCAUGACGAAGGAUUUCGCCAUGAUUGCAGUAUUGCCCCCAUAUGAAGAUAUGGUUGCCUCGUAGCUCAUUAGGAACUGCUUUGGGUCUGAGUGCCCAUCAUACAUAGGAAGAUAAGGUGGCUUGUAUGAUGGGGGCCAUGGGGUAGCCUACAACUCUGCUGCUAGAGGAGAAGCAUCGUCAAAAGCAAAAUUACCAUGAUGGAAAUCAUCAUGCCAUUCAUCAUCGUUGUACGAAUUGUCUUGACAAAGCUCUCUAUGUUGAGGCCUUCGGUCUUGGUCAUCUUGAGUGAGAUGACGCAUUUCCUCAGCAGCUUCAUCAAUCUUCCUCUGAAGAUUGGCAAGACGAAGCAUCUUUUCUUUCUUCUUCUGGACCUGUUGAUGAAUGGCUUCAAGGUCCCUGAUUUCUUGGUCCAACUCCUCCUAAGGUGUUAGACUAGUAGCCUUCCUUUUCUGGCUCCUGACUUCGCGUAAUGUAUCUUGAUUAACGUCCAGUGGCUGCAAUGCAGCCCCUGGCCCUGAUGACUUCUUCGGUGGCAUGACGAAGGUUAGAGCUUGCCAAAGGUGGUCAAGUGAGUUCACCGGAGGUGGGCACCAAUGUUGGUCACUUGUUCUUAAAUGCUGAGUUAAGAACAAGGCAACACAAAUGUUAAUGGUUAAAGGCCUUCGUCCUUCAAAGCAUUAUUUCCCUUAGGGUAUAAUGAUCUUCAGACGAAGGUCAUGAAGGGCAUACCUUCAUCAUCUCAAUAUACAAAAAUAUAGGCAAGGACGUACAAAACAUAGAAAGACCAUGAUUAAUCAUAUUAAAUCAUUAAAUCAUGUAUAUAUUGACAUUAUAUAAUCAUGAACAAACAUUGAUGAUAUUAAGUUUGAAAGCACAUUCAUCCCUUUUGUGAGUUUUGGUGAUUUGGAUAACAACACAUUUAAAGGUCUAACGAGUUUGCUAAGUGUUGAACAGGAAAUUCAGUAUGAUGAACAUACUUGAAUAGUGUAUAAUGAUCAGUGAACAAAGGUUCAACACGAGGUUAAAUAACCAAUGAGACAAUGCAAAUGGAUAUAAUAUGAUCUCUAUAUUGGUUUGAAUAUAUGGACAAGACCUGAGAAAUCACUACAUACAUAUGACCAGAAUAGAGGACAAAGUGAUUUAGAGGAUUGGUCAAGCCAAAGAGAAUAAGAUAUGAGGAAUCGUGAAUUGGCUUGACCAUAUUACUAUCAGUCCAUAUAUGCUUCUAUGAGAAUCAAACUAGAGCUUGAUUAAUCUUAACAGUUAUAUCUAGAAGACAUUCAAGCAAGGUUCACAAUAUUGAAGAAAUGAUUCUCUCAAUGGAUGCUCAAUAUGAUGUGACUCAAGAAUGGCUUGAUAGGGUGAAGAUAGCAAGGAAAGGGCUUCGAGGAACUAGGCGAAGGUGAAGGCCAAGCGACGGCUUAUAGACCGAGGUACCAUGGCUAAGGUGAAGAAGAGAGUACUUGCACUAAGUCGAUGAACUAAUCAGCUAUGAAGAGUUAUAACAUGUUGAUGCAUCAGUAAGGUGACUUGAAGCAAUGAUUUGAACUCAUAUAAGGUGAUAUGGUACAAGUCACAGGGUUUGGUUUGAGUUUGCUUCAAAAGGUGAGACAAAGAUGUUUGUGAUCCUUAUGAAGCAAUGCCAUGGAGAAAUCACACAUGAGACACCAAUGACUCAAGGAGUUUACUUCAUUUUAUUUUAUUUAACUUGAGUAUAGGAAUCGUCGUACUAUAAAGGGGGAUCCAAAAAGAAUGUUGGUGUUUGCCAAAGCUCAAACCUCUCUAUUCAAAAGCUAUUUUUGAAAAGCAAAAAUCUCUUUAACGUUCUAUGGUUGACCGUGGUUAGGGUUGAGAAACCUAGAGUGCUCUUGCUGAAAAGCAGCUGAACUUCUUCAACUGCAGCUGAGCUUUCCAGCUGAACUUGACUUCAGCUCAGUUGAGCUUCUUCAGCUGCAGCUGAGCUUUUCAGCUGAGCUGAACUUCAGCUGAGUUGAGCUUUCUCAACUUCAGCUGUGAACCUCUUUGACCAUACACCAGCUGAACUUGCCUCCGGGCAGUUGAGCUGGGAUUUUCUCUCCUAAACUCACUGGUCAAGACCGGUUGAACUGGUCCUAAGGGGCAGUUCAGCUGGUCUCUGACCCCUCUGACCUCUGAUCUGCAGUCUGCCAGUCAGACUGGCAAACAGGUCGCCAGGAGCUGUUAGGGGCGGUUCAACCGCCCCGCCUGGGCGGUUCAACCGAUGUUGGUCAACUUUGACCAGUCUGCGGUCAGUCUGCGCGUCAGUCUGCCAGGCCUGCCAGGGGCGGUUCAACCGCCCUAGGGGGCGGUUCAACCGGUCUCAGGCAGAAAAAUCUGCCCAAACGGCUAGUUUUAAGCUCCACCUAUAUAUACUCACUCCUACCUCUCACCCCACAGCAGGGAGCACGAUUUGAACUCCAUUUCUAACCCAAGAAACACCUCCCUCUCUCUCUCACACAUCUCUUGCCUCUCCCAUUUCAAAUCUUUGGAGAGAAAUCUUUGAGUGAGCUUGAGAGCUGCGGUUUUGUGCUUCAUCUCUAAAUCUCUCUUGCUCUUCUUCUUGAUUCGAGCUUUGGUACUACAUUGAGUUCUUUGUGGAUUCAUUACUCUUGGAGCUUCUAGCUCCUAGACGACUAGGUGUCUCUUGUGAGUCUCCAAAUCUUGUGGAAGACCACAAGAAAGUUUGUAUUACCCGCUCGUUUGAGCAAAGAUUAGUGUGUGAGCUUGACCUUUGUGGUCGGCAAAGGGAGGAUUAGGGUUGAAAGAGACCCGGCUCUUUGUGGGCGCCUCAACGAGGAAGUAGGGCACCUUGGUGGUGUGACCAAACCUCGGGAUAAAUCUUGUGUCUUUUGUGUUCUUGUUCAUUGUGCUUAUUCGUGUUCUUCGUUCUCUCACCAUUGCGUGGAAGAUUUGUUCAUAUCUUUUUGGUGUGUGGAUUUUGAGAAGUGCCCUUCUCAGAUCUACUACUUUGAACCCUGUGGAUCAUUUAGAACAUCUCAUUUCCAAAGUUAACUGGGUGAAUUUUGAGAUCAAUUCAGUUUUAUAUCUCAUUGUUUAGUUAAGCUCGUUCAAACCAGUUGCACCGGUUUUGACACUCGACGGUUUUACCUAGUUUGUUUCUAGUUUUUGUUGAAAAAGUUUUAACUUGCCUAUUCACCCCCCCACUAGACAACUUUUAAUUGGUAUCAGAGUCUAAUCCUCGUUUUAACGCUUAACCGCGUGAGGAAAGAUCAUGUCGGGGGGACUAAGAAACGAAAGUUCUUCUAAGCUUGAAAAAGUUGAGGUUGCCUCGACUUCAUCUUUUGGUGCAGAUGUUGAUCCUAGGGCAAUAGACCUUGCCAUGAGAAUCGCCGAAAGGAUGUUCCUCAAAAUGAAGGAAGAUGAGGCGAAGAACAUUAUUGAAGAAGAAGAAAAUGAUCGAUGGAGACCAAACGACGAAUCCACCUCUUCACAAGGUUCAUCUUUCAAAUCCACUUCUCAUAUGUGCUUUGUUGCUAAUGAGAGUGACAGUGAAAGCGAAAGUGAGGAUGAGGAGAAGCAUGAAAGUGAUAGUGAAGAUGAGGAUGAUCUUCAAAAAUUCUUCGCUCAACUAAGUAAGAAGAACUGGAUGAGCUUGCUCAAACUCAUGAAAAGAGCGGAAGAACAAAAGGAAAUGCUUCAUAAGCAAGAAGAUAUCCUCAUCGAAAAAAUCAAAGACUUGGAGAAGUUGACCAAAGAGCAUGAGAAGCUAAAGUGCUCUCAUGAUGAUUUGGUCCAAAGGUAUGAAGUCAUUUCAAUUGAGCAAAUUAAAGCUAUUAAUCAUUCAUCAUAUAUUGCUCAAUUAGAAAAUAAAAAUGCUAUGCUCAAGAACACAGUAGAAAAGCUAAACAUUGAAAAUCUAGCUUUGCAAGAAAAACAUGAUAUACUUGUAUGCUCUCAUAAUAAAUUUAUGGAUUCACAUAUCAUGUUAGAAAUGGCUCAUGAGGUUGUGUUAACUAAUUUGAAAUCAUACCAACCUCACAUGUGCACAUGUGUUGAAAUUGAAACUAUAUUACCAUGUGCUAACAAUUAUUGUUAUCAAGCAAGCCAAUCUUCCAUUGAGCUAGAAAUUUCAGGAAUUAGUGAUAUUUCUAUCACACAAGAAAAUAAAGAGCUCAUGGAAGAAGUUGGAAGGCUAAGAAGGAGCUUAACUCUUUUGAAGGGAAAGUGUCAUGCUCAACCUUCUCACGAUAACCGUGAUAACAUGGUGAAGAAGCUUGAGAAGGGGACAAACGUAGCAUGCACAAUCCCGCUUCAAAAUAAUGCUAAGUUCCCUAAGAAAGGCAUGAGCAAACAUCAAUAGAAGAAAGCCAAAGCUCAUGACAAGUGCCUCAACCAUGCCUCCACAUGCUCCACACAAGGUAACAAACAAGCCACUCUUCCAAAUAAGAGAAGAUGCACUAGAAAGUGUUAUCAAUGUCAUGAGAAGGGACAUGAGAUUAAGUCAUGUCCUUACAUAAAAGAUAGUGGUUUACCUUUGGAAAGAAAGAGGCUCACUAACCAUGUAGCAAACAAGAAGCAAGGCAAGAAGGAGUCUUGCAAAAUUAAAAAUCAUAUUUGCUACACUUGCCGAAGAAAGGGACACCUUUGCAAGGAUUGUCCCAUGAGUAAGUAUCCUAAGUCUACCAUGUCAAUUCAUUCAUAUUCGCUUAGGAGACCCAAAAAUGACACUUGUGCUAGAAAGGUAAUUAGUUCACCUAAAACUAGCACAAAGGCCAUUUGGGUGCCUAAGUACUUGUUAGCUAACCUUGGUGGACCCAUCCAAAGAUGGGUACCAAAAUGUACUUGAUAAGUUUUGCAGGUACCCACAUAUGAUAUGAAGCUUUGGGGUGCUUGAGCGGUUUAACUCAAUUCUUAUCUCAAGCUAUCAAUCUUACAUUGUCUAUCCUUUAAGAUUGACCCAAAGAUGAAUUGAGUUGUUAUAUCACUAACUUCAUAUUCAUCUCUAGCAAGAACUUGUGUUGUAGGGAAUAAGGAUUAACCUUUGUGGGAAUCAAGCAAAAGGCCUACAACCAAGUGAUAUCCAAAGGAUGGUAACAAUUAAUUCUUAAGUGCACAUUGCUUUUAACGAAUAAUGAAGCACUUGAGAAUGAACUUAAAAGAUUUUACCUUGCUUUGGAAAGGAUCUAAUUAUAUGGUAGAUUGCAAGUUCAUAUUUUUAUAUUAUGACAAUCUACAUGCUUUAAAUUGGUUGUAUAUAUCUUGUGGCAUAUUUCAAAUUGAUUAUCGUAUUAUUGCCAUGACCUAGACAUAAAGAGGAUUAUCCCAUGUUCUUAAAUGAAUAGAGUGCUAAGUAAGAAAUUCAAAUUCUUAAAGCACUUACCAAAAGGGAAUUCUCUAUAUGGCUAGAGUUGUGAGACUAAUGUUUCUAUCCAAGUGUUUAUGUAGUCUCACAACAUGAGAAUGUGUUUCCCAAAUGGAGUGUGCCAUUCAACAUUCAAAGAAGAUCGAACCAAUACUAUGUGAUGUAUUCAUUCUUGUUUAAAUUGGUUUUGAGUCUUCUACAUUAAUCACUCAUCAUGUUAUAAAUUAAACUUGCCCUAUAAACUUAACUAAAUAAUCAUGCUAUUUUCACCAUGUUUAAAUCAGUGUUAUGCAUGAUGCUUGUAAGGGUAAUUUAGUUCAUAUCAUGAGGUUUCCUUAUUUUAGUAACCUUCUUGUCAUACAUAUACUAAAGGUUGCUAAAUAGGAAGUUAUUGCUUGUGUUUUAAAUGCAGUCUCUUUUAAGAUAUUUCAUGGAAAUUCAUAAGUAGAGAUUGUGCUCUUUCAAUUGGUAAAAUCACAAGCAUUAAAGGUUAAUCUUCACCCAAAAGAAAGAUUAGGAAUGCUCAAGGCAAAGGUAUGGAACUAAUUGCUUUAAUUGGUUGUUGAUCAAUGGUAGUUCCUUUCAAGUGUCAUUCUUUCAAUUGGUAAUAAUAUAUUCUAUGGAAAUAAAUGCCAAUAUGAAGGUUAAAUUCCUUUUGACUUAAAUUUGUAAAUUGGUGCAUAUUAUUAAUUCUCUCAUCCAUGUGCAUUAAUUUAAAAGGAAUUUAAUUUAUGCCUGUAUGCCCAUAAAUGAUGAUUUGCUUGCCAUUCAUAUAUAGAUAUCAUCAUUCAUUAAAUACUUCCUUGUACUACUAAUACCUCUUUUCAAAGUGUUUUAUCGACUAGUUUUAAAAGGAAAAGAGAUAACAAAGAAGGAAGUCUCCACAAAUGAUGAAAAGAAGAAUAAUAAGGUGACACCACCAUAGAUAGUAAGAUCUGUCAAAUUGGUAUAACAAAUGGUACAUUCUAUAUGGUGGUAAGUAUUCUUAGGCAUAAGUUAAUUCAUUGUAAAUUUGUCAUGCCUCGACAAUGAUAUGUAAUGUACUCCUCAUGAGACCCUUAUCUGAAUUGAAAGUGCAUGUGGUAAGUCAUUCAAAUACUUUAUGCACAUAUCUAGUGGGAGAACAUUAUAUAUCUUGUGUCAUAGAGAAUAAGUUUCACUUGAGUAAGCUAUACUAAGACAAUCCAAAAUGGUAAAUUUGUAUCUCAUUCAUAUGGAUUGUAAUCUUUGUUUUCUAAAUAGCUACUCUUGAUGCAGUUUAAAAUUCCCUUAUCGUUAAUUCUAAAAGUGCAUAAGAAUCUUUUUGUUGAUAUUCAUCACAUACAUAUGCACUAACAUGGAUAUGAUUUUUAAACUGUAAAAGGUACAAUUAGUGAUCCAUACUCUCUAAAUUUUGGAAACCCAUAUUUUGAUAUCUUAGAAAUCUACUUCAAUCAAUAUCCAUAUGCUUCACAUUGAAUUGGAUCACUAAGUUGUAAAUUCCAUGCAUAACUUGUCUUCAUGAUAUGAAUGCUUGUGCGAUUAACCUUGAUAAGCUAGGUGCACCCAAGGUCAAUCUAGGUUCAUCAUCAAGAAGGCAACACAAUGAUGUAUCAAGAAAAGGAGAAAAGGCUCCUAUUCUUAACUCUAACUUUUAUCUGUGUGAUUAAAUAUUGACUUGAAAUCGUGUAAGAUGGUUGUCAAGUAUAUGUGGGUGCCUACACAAAGAGAAAGGCCACAAUAAGGAUUGUGUGGGUACUCAAGGCUCUUACUACUAAUCUCAAAGGACCCAAUUCAAAUUGGGUACCAAGAUAUGAAGCUUAAACUUGUUUUGCAGGAUCACUCCUUCAAUGGAUCAAGUUGGGUGCUUGAUAAUGAAUGUAUAAUUCACAUUUGGAGAUAGUAGCAAGGGUGUGGUAACAACUGAAUCUCAAGUGCAUAUUAUUUUCAAAUCUUAUCUCUUUUGUGACUUGUGUAGCCACUAAAGAAAAAGAAGCACUUGAGGAUAUACAUCAGUUGUUGAUUAUGAAAUAAAGGUCCAAUUGGAAGAUGAAUGAAUAUUAUCAUAUGGUCAACAAUCCAAAAUUGUGUGACAUAUUCUCUAUCUAGUUAAUUUGGAUUUGAUUCUUCUAUAUUAGACACUCACCAUAAUAUGGAUUAAGCCAUCCCUUUAGACUUUAUUGAAUAACUAUGCAUAUUAUACAUGUCAUUCAAAAUAUAUUGUGCAUGAGGGCUCAAGGGAAAUUCAGUCCAUAUUAUGAGGUUUCUUUAUUUUAGCAACUCGCUUGCCUUCCACAUAUAAAGGGUUGCAAAAUAAGAAACUAGUGCUUGUGCUACUAAUGCCAUCUCUUGUGUUGAGUUUAUCCAUAGAAAAUCUAUGUUAAGAGAUGGUGCUUGUUUUAAAUUGGGUAAAUCACAAGCUUAAAGGACACUAUUCAACUAAAGUAAGAUGAAGUUGAUAAGAUGCCAAGGUAUGGAAACUUCCUCUCCUUCAGUUGUUUUAGUAUUCUAUCCUUAGUGGGAUGUACCAUAGUAUAGGUUAAAUUCCUUGCAAUGUAAAAUGUUCAAUAGUGCAUAUAACUUUGACAUUAACUAUAUGUGUGCACUAAUUUAAAGGAAUUUAGUCUAUCCUUUUCGGUUUCAAUAAUGAUGAUUCAUUUGCCAUCCACAUAUAAGGAUCAUCAUUUGUGAAACCCUCCCUUGUGUUUCUAAUGCUCUCUUUUCUAAGUGUUUCAAUAAGGUCCUUCCAAGUGCUUUCAAGAUGGAUUCAAAAUCUAUGGAUAAGAGUCUUGGUUCUUUCAAUCAUUGAGUUUCAAUGAAUCUCAUAUCAAGUAUGAUCGAAUCAAGAAAAGAUGAAAGAAGUUCAUGAUCACUUGGUUGGAUGAAAUCGUAAAAAGAAAAGAGAUCACAGUGAUUCAAGAAGGGAGUUAUAUUUUUUGUCAACCAAAUAAUGAAGAUGCAGUGACAUAUUUAUAUGAUAUCCUUCAUUAUGAGGUUUGAGGUUCAUAUUAGCAUGCUUUACCCUUCAAGAUUUCAAUUGAUAUACUUUUAGUUCUUAAAUCUUCAAUUGGUUUAAUUUUCGUCCUCUAUAUAAAGCAUGUUAUGUUAAGCCAAGAUAUAGUACAAACAUCUCCUUUAACCUCACAUUGUUAAUGUGCAUAAGUGUACUUUGUGUACUCUUGCAUGCACAAAUUGAGGGAGAGUUUAGCCUAUAUCUUGUGAGACUAAUGAUUUCUUUCAAGUUCAUGUUGUGUAGUCUCACACCUUGGAGAACAUCAAAUGAGGUUGAAUGGUUCCAUAGAAAUGAAAAUGAGUUUCUCUUGAACCUAUCAAGAAAAUGAGUUUCUCUUGAUCGUUUGAAGAGGAUGAGUUUCUCUUUGAAAUGUCAAGCCUAUCAAAAGCUAAAAUAGAAAUUCAUGAUUAUAAUGAAGACCAUAUGGCAUGGAACAAAGGUGUGUCACUCCAUGAACUAUUGUAUUAUAUGUGUAUCUAGGCUCUUACAAGUUAGUGUAUGCAUGUAAAUGCAAUAUCUUAAGUCACAUCAUAAGGUUGCACUUGAAUCUUGGCUUAAAAUAUUGCAUAUCAUGCCUAUUAGUAUACCUUUUUUAUUAUGAGUAAUUCCUUAAAUUGGUGCAAUUUCAUAUUUUCAUACUUUAUUUGUACCAAGGUUCAAAUUGUAGAACUUAAUCCCCUGGCCUCACAAGUCCAAGUGCAUAAGCUAAACAAGUAUUCAUCACUUGUAUGCAUACAUUUAGGGGGAGAAUGGUCUAUAAUUUGAAUCUUUGAGACUAACUUCAUUUUCAAGUCUAUUAUGUGUGUAGUCUCAAAUUAGAAAGGGAUCUUCAAGCAAAGACAAUCGCUUCCACUGCAAAAUUUGAUGGGCAUCAAAGAUUCUUUGCUCCAAUAAAUGUAUCUUUUAUACAUUUCAUAAGAGAAUGAGUUUCUCUUUUAUAUGCUACUCCAACAUCAUCUAAAACUGGUAAACAUGUAUCACAUCCUUUUGGAUUGCAAAUGUCUGAAGUAGCAUAGCUUAUAAAUUCUCCUGUCUAGAACUUAAUUGAUUAAAUAGUGCACAUGUUUCUUAUGUUGCAUGAUUAUGUUCAAUUGAUACUCCUUUUAUGCCAAUGGUACUUUAAGUUGCAAAUAAGUACUCUCAACAGAUAUCAAUUGAAUUCAUAUAUGUGUGUGCACUAAAACUUGAGGAGAACUUAGUGUAAUAUGCUAUUAGUGAUCUAUUUAUCUAUCAAAUUGUAUCAAUUGGUGUUUUUCAAUUGAUAUUUUUCAUACAUGAUCACUAGUUGCAUAAUCCAUACUUGUGCAAUUUUCAUGUUGCCUCUUGUUGUGAUAAGAAAAUGCUAGGUGACAUCUAGACUCCAGGUAUCAAGAUUUAUCUUUCAGUUAGUAUGACAAUCUUCAUUUGAUAUCUUGGACCUAUGUCACAAAUUAUGCCAACAAGAGCUUGCAAAUGAAUUCUAAAUCCAACACAAGUCUGGAAACCCCUUGAAAAGGUAAAACGCAAAGGUACAUCACUUAUGACACUUAUCCAUUACCUUUGUGCCAUCUAAGGAUCCCUUUCAUGAUAGUGUGUUCACAUCUCGCUUAAUCAUAAUUUCUAUCCUUUAUAUUCUUUGUAUCCUUUUUGGAGAUUUAUGUCAAAGGGGGAGAAAUUGUGCAUUAAAGCUUACCUUUAGUCUUAUGUAACUAAGUGUUAGAAGACUUUUAAAAAGGGGAGAAAUAAUUAACAAAAAGGGGAAGUCAUAAGAAAAACAUAAGAUGAAGAGAGUUGAUAAGUGCAUUCCAUGUCAUGAGCAUCACGUUUAUUUUAUGACACACUGCACCCUAUGAAUAGUAUGAUAUAAGUUGUCUAUACUUUGACCUAAAUAUGUGCUUUUGGCAUUUGAGUACAUAAGUGUCAUUUUCUGAAAUGCACAUAUUUAGGGGGAGGAAACUAUAUCAUAGGAUUUAAAAUCUUAUUUAUCAAAUCUUAUGUAAGCUUUAAAUGUGUUGUCAUCAAUCACCAAAAAGGGGGAGAUUGAAAGUGCAUUCAUCCCUUUUGUGAGUUUUGGUGAUUUGGAUAACAACACAUUUAAAGGUCUAACGAGUUUGCUAAGUGUUGAACAGGAAAUUCAGUAUGAUGAACAUACUUGAAUAGUGUAUAAUGAUCAGUGAACAAAGGUUCAACACGAGGUUAAAUAACCAAUGAGACAAUGCAAAUGGAUAUAAUAUGAUCUCUAUAUUGGUUUGAAUAUAUGGACAAGACCUAAGAAAUCACUACAUACAUAUGAUCAGAAUAGAGGACAAAGUGAUUUAGAGGAUUGGUCAAGCCAAAGAGAAUAAGAUAUGAGAAAUCGUGAAUUGGCUUGACCAUAUUACUAUCAGUCCAUAUAUGCUUCUAUGAGAAUCAAACUAGAGCUUGAUUAAUCUUAACAGUUAUAUCUAGAAGACAUUCAAGCAAGGUUUACAAUAUUGAAGAAAUGAUUCUCUCAAUGGAUGCUCAAUAUGAUGUGACUCAAGAAUGGCUUGAUAGGGUGAAGAUAGCAAGGAAAGGGCUUCGAGGAACUAGGCGAAGGUGAAGGCCAAGCGACGGCUUGUAGACCGAGGUACCAUGGCUAAGGUGAAGAAGAGAGUACUUGCACUAAGUCGAUGAACUAAUCAGCUAUGAAGAGUUAUAACAUGUUGAUGCAUCAGUAAGGUGACUUGAAGCCAUGAUUUGAACUCAUAUAAGGUGAUAUGGUACAAGUCACAGGGUUUGGUUUGAGUUUGCUUCAAAAGGUGAGACAAAGAUGUUUGUGAUCCUUAUGAAGCAAUGCCAUGGAGAAAUCACACAUGAGACACCAAUGACUCAAGGAGUUUACUUCAUUUUAUUUUAUUUAACUUGAGUACAGGAAUCAUCGUACUAUAAAGGGGGAUCCAAAAAGAAGGUUGGUGUUUGCCAAAGCUCAAACCUCUCUAUUCAAAAGCUAUUUUUGAAAAGCAAAAAUCUCUUUAACGUUCUAUGGUUGACCGUGGUUAGGGUUGAGAAACCUAGAGUGUUCUUGCUGAAAAGCAGCUGAACUUCUUCAACUGCAGCUGAGCUUUCCAGCUGAACUUGACGAGCUUCUUCAGCUGCAGCUGAGCUUUUCAGCUGAGCUCAACUUCAGCUGAGUUGAGCUUUCUCAACUUCAGCUGAACUCAACUUCAGCUGUGAACCUCUUUGACCAUACACCAGCUGAACUUGCCUCCGGGCAGUUGAGCUGGGGUUUUCUCUCCUAAACUCACUGGUCAAGACCGGUUGAACUAGUCCUGAGGGGCAGUUCAGCUGGUCUCUGACCCCUCUGACCUCUGAUCUGCAGUCUGCCAGUCAGACUGGCAAACAGGUCGCCAGGAGCUGUCAGGGGCGGUUCAACCGCCCCCCCUAGGCGGUUCAACCGGUGUUGGUCAACUUUGACCAGUCUGCGGUCAGUCUGCGCGUCAGUCUGCCAGUCAGACUGGCAGACAGGCUGCCAGGCCUGGCAGGGGCGGUUCAACCGGUCUCAGGCAGAAAAAUCUGCCCAAACGGCUAGUUUUGAGCUCCACCUAUAUAUACUCACUCCUACCUCUCACCCCACAGCAGGGAGCACGAUUUGAACUCCAUUUCUAACCCAAGAAACACCUCCCUCUCUCUCACACACAUCUCUUGCCUCUCCCAUUUCAAAUCUUUGGAGAGAAAUCUUUGAGUGAGCUUGAGAGCUGCGGUUUUGUGCUUCAUCUCUAAAUCUCUCUUGCUCUUCUUCUUGAUUCGAGCUUUGGUACUACAUUGAGUUCUUUGUGGAUUCAUUACUCUUGGAGCUUCUAGCUCCUAGACGACUAGGUGUCUCUUGUGAGUCUCCAAAUCUUGUGGAAGACCACAAGAAAGUUUGUAUUACCCGCUCGUUUGAGCAAAGAUUAGUGUGUGAGCUUGACCUUUGUGGUCGGCAAAGGAAGGAUUAGGGUUGAAAGAGACCCGGCUCUUUGUGGGCGCCUCAACGAGGAAGUAGGGCACCUUGCACUACACCAAAAUAGUAAACUUCCUAGAGCCUAAACUCUAGGAAGUUAGGCCUAAACUCUAGGAAGUUAGCUAAACUCUCGGAAGUUAAGCCAUCCCGUCGGAAGUUUGGCUCUCGGAAAUUUUUUGUCGGAAGUUAGCUUAACUUCCUAGAGGCCUCUAGGAAGUUAGCUAACUUCCUACAGCCAAAAAAGCCUCUCGGAAGUUAGUAGAUUCUCGGAAGUUAGUAGCUUCACGCCGUCAGCGCCGUCAGCUGACUAACUUCCUAUGGCUGACUGUAGCCCCUAGGAAGUUAGCUGGCUAACUUCCUACGGCUUAAUAAGCCUCUAGGAAGUUAAUUUGACCAGCAUUACAAAUGUUGUUUAUUUUUAUUUUACACCACAUUCCACAACAUAACAAAUAUAUCAACAGCUAUAUAGCACAACAUAUUUUCUCAUAAAACAUCUCACACACAAUCACAUAACCAUAUUUAAAUCCAUAGUCUCAUCAAUUACAUCACAAAAGUCUCAUCCAUAGUCUCAUCAAUUACAUCAUAAAAGUCUUAUCCAUAGUCUCAUCAAUUACAUCACAAAAGUCUCAUCCAUAGUCAUAAUAGGACACAUCUCAUCAUCCAGUACUAAUAAGAGACAAUAUCUCAUACAUAGUCAUAAAAGUCUCAUUACAAAUGCAGUUUGUACCAGGAUUCACCUUCAGAGUAUCUCCCUACAAAGCAGGAUGAGCGCUAACGUCAGUGGAACCAAACUAAAAUGAAAGAGAGGAUUGGAACUAGAGUAUAAACCUUUUAAAAAUUUCAGAACAUAGUACCUUUGAAAAGAUUCAUUCUUGCAUCUGGUGGACCACAGUUAUCAGAUAAGUGAUACUUUCCUGAAAGUAUACCCAUUGCCAUUGGGUUGUAAGGCAGCAAGCUGAUUCUGCAAAUGCCAUAGUUCGACAAUGGAAGUUCAGAAGAAAAACAAUUGUAUAAAUUGAGUCAAAACAGAAUACAAUUUGGAAAAUAUCUUAACCAAGAGCAAAUACGAUAUGACAAUGCCAUUCUUCUUUAAACUAAACAGAUGUCAAUAUUUUUUCGAACAUGCAGGAGAGCUAUGUAUCGUUGUAUCAUAGUCAUAGAGAGUAAAAAAAGCCAAUAUGCAUUACCAACUCAUGCCAGGACCAUACAUGAGAAGAUUAGAGACACUGAAGACAACAGUCAGGGCUUCUGACCAUGUCAAGCAUACCUCUCAUGAUGGCAGCAUUCUGCCAAUCCAGAAUCAAAAUUUUGGCACAACAAAUUAUACAAGUUCUACAAAAACAUAGGUGAAGAAAUAUGGAGAGCGAUUACAGUACUACAGAUUAGAUCAAACUAUGCUACUUACCUGCAUUGUCAGUAGCUUUGGAAGCAACUGAGAAUCCUUACUGAACUAAAGAAAUUUCAUCAAACCAUAUGGUGUAUCAUUGGAACAGACGUGUACUGGCAGUUCGGAUCAUACUCUGUCUCCCCAAACAUUGGAACAUACCUGCAAGUAGAAAAAAACAGUGGAUCAUACUCUGUCUCCUCAUAGCCGAAGCUAAGUAUGCAACAACAAUUAUUCGAGGAAAAACUCUACUAACAUCUAUGUAUCGUCACUAAGGGUGACUAUUUAUGCAAUUUGUAUUACAAAAACUUAGAUCAUGCCUAGAGCAGAAGUAACAAGCGUUCGAAUUAAACAAUCAAUUCCUAAAGACACAACCACACUAGCGAGCAUCUGAGCACAAGAGCAAAUAUGAGGUUUUGCAGAGUGAACACAGAACAAAAAGGUCUACCAAUUGACCACCUGCCAUCGAUUGCCGCUGCGAUGUUCCGUGAAUCGAGAGAUGACGGCCUGCCGCGAAUCCACGUCAUCUGCCAUGAAGGCCCCGCGACCUGUUCUCCCAGCAUAGCGUCACCAAACAAAGCACCAAGUUGAGUUCACCGCUCCGUCACAAAAUUCACAAUACAUACAAGCAACUGAAGUACGGGCAGGAUCUGAGGGCUGUUGCUCCCUUUGGUUGCGACAACGAUGCUGUCCGGUGGGGCCCGGCGGGCCCGCAACCAGCGGCCGAGGAGCUCCUCACUACGCCCGUGCGUCUUGCUGCGUUGUGGAACCGAGUACCUGACGAGUAUCUGGAUUCGGGGCCGGGGGCGGCGGGCGGGGCCGAAGGUGGGCCGAGGUGGGGGCGGCCGCGGUGGAUGGGGCUGGUGGUGGCUGCGUCCGCGGUGGGUGGGGUCGGGGCGAGGGCGUCCGCGGCGGACGGGGUCGGGGGCGGCCGUGGCGAGGGCGGGCAGGGGCGGCCGCGACGUGGGCGGUCGGUGGCGUGGGCGGUGAGGGCGACUGGCGACUGGCGGCUGGCGGGGCCGGAGGCGGGCCUUGGCGGGGGCGGCCACGGUGGAUGGAGCCGAGGGCGGUGGCGUCCGUGGUGGACGGGGCUGGGCCAGGGGCGUCCGCAGCGUACGGGGCCGGGGGUGGCCGCGGCGGGGGCAGGGGCGGGCGGGGGCGGCCGGUGGCGUGGGCAGCGGGGGCGGCGGGCGGCGGGCGGCUCCAUGGAAGAGACAAAGGCGAGAGAGAUGGGGUUGAGAAAUGUGAGAGAAGAGAUAAGGUUGAGGAGAGGUUUAAAAUAAAAAAUAACUUCCUAGAGUAAAGCCGUAGGAAGUUACGUAACUUCCUAGAGUUUGUACAUUUACUCUAGGAAGUUAAAUAACUUCCUAGAGCCGACCGUAGGAAGUUAGCUUUUCGUUUGACUGGUCAAAAGCUGAAAUCUAACUUCCUAGAGCUGGUCGUAGGAAGUUAGCUUUUCGUUUGACUGGUCAACAGCUAAAACCUAACUUCCUAGAAGAGGCCGUAGGAAGUUAGCUGGGCAGCUAACUUCCUAGAGCCAGCCGUAGGAAGUUAGCUUUUCUUUUGGCUGGUCAAUAGCUAAAACCUAACUUCCUAGAGCAGGCCGUAGGAAGUUAGCUAACUUCCUACGGUUUUUUAACUUCCGACAGCUUUUAUAAAAGACCGUAGGAAGUUAGGUUUAUUUCCUAGAGCUACCAGUUGCCUCUCGGAAGUUAUUUAUUUCCUACGGUUUGUUACAAAAGCUGUAGGAAGUUAAAAAACCGUAGGAAGUGUAUGAUUUUGGUGUAGUGUUGGUGGUGUGACCGAACCUCGGGAUAAAUCUUGUGUCUUUUGUGUUCUUGUUCAUUGUGCUUAUUCGUGUUCUUCGUUCUCUCACCAUUGCGUGGAAGAUUUGUUCAUAUCUUUUUGGUGUGUGGAUUUUGAGAAGUGCCCUUCUCAGAUCUACUACUUUGAACCCUGUGGAUCAUUUAGAACAUCUCAUUUCCAAAGUUAACUGGGUGAAUUUCGAGAUCAAUUCAGUUUUAUAUCUCAUUCUUUAGUUAAGCUCGUUCAAACCAGUUGCACCGGUUUUGACACUGGACGGUUUUACCUAGUUUGUUUCUAGUUUUUUGUUGAAAAAGUUUUAACUUGCCUAUUCACCCCCCCUCUAGACAACUUUCAAAGUUACAUUAGUACCUUCGACUUGACAGAAGGUAAAAGUCCGAGGGUUACGUGCGAGCGAUUACAAGUCAGCGUGAACAGUAUGGUGUUACUGUUCAUCUAUUUAUAGGCACAAGACGUAGCCUGGGUAAAAUUACAUUCAUGUCCCUGACACUUACUAUUAGCUAAAAGGUAAGAUGUCGAGGACUAAGCAGUCUUUUCCCUUUUAAGUCGGUUUCAUUCUCCAUCGUCAUCUUUGCGCUAAGCCGAAGCUUUUCCAUCCACAGCUUCGGAACUGGUCCAUCCUUCUUCCAGGUCGCGCCUUUCAUACUAUGUACACCUUCAUCUCAAAGCCAAAGCCUCCUGUGACAGUAUACUAUACUGGAAGACAUGUUAGUCAUGUUUUUGAGGACCAUCGAAAGACAAAGGCCCCCAAUAGAGAUGAGAAUGUUAGAUUAAGUGCUACGAUAGAGGAAUUAAAUGUUUGCAAACCCUCUACAUCUAAUGUUGAUCAUGUUUCUAUUUGCACUAGAUGUAUAGAGAUUAAUGUAGAAGCUAUUGAUGAUCACCUUGCUAUGAUUAAACAACAAAAUGAUCACAUAGCUAAAUUAACUGCUAAAAUUGUCGAGCAUGAGCUAGAAAAUGAAAAAUUUAAAUUUGCUCGUAGUAUGCUCUAUAACGGGAGAUGCCCUAGCAUUAAGGAUGGCAUUGGUUUCCAACAGGGGAGCAAUGUCAAGCUUAAUGCCCCUAAAAAAUUAUCUAACUUUGUAAAGGGCAAGGCUCCCAAGGUUCAGGAUAGUGAAGGCUACAUUUUAUAUCCUGCUAACUAUCCUAAGCAGAAAAUUAGGAGAAUUCAUGCUAGAAAACCUCACACUGUUUCUCAUCAUGCAUUUAUGUAUAAAAAUGAGGCUUCUAGCUCUAGGCAAUCAACUCAUGUUAAAUUGCCUAAAACGAAAACUCCCACUGCAUCAAAUGAACACAACAUUUCAUUUAAGACUUUUGAUGCUUCAUAUGUUUUAACUAACAAAUUAGGCAAAGUAGUUGCCAAAUAUGUUGAGGGCAAACACAAGAGCUCCAAAACUUGUGUUUGGGUACCCAAGGUGCUUGUUUCUAAUGUGAAAGGACCCAAGACCGUUUGGGUACCUAAGAACAAGGCCUAAAAUUGUUUUGUAGGUUUAUGCAUCUGGUGGUUCAAGUUGGAUAAUCGAUAGCGGGUGCACAAACCACAUGACAGGGAGAAGAGAAUGUUCUCCUCCUAUGAGAAAAAUGAAGAUCCCCAAAGAGCUAUCACAUUCGGGGAUAGAAAUCAAGGAUUGGUCAAAGGUUUGGGUAAAAUAGCUACAUCUCCUGACCAUUCUAUUUCCAAUGUUUUUCUUGUAAAUUCUUUAGAUUACAAUUUGCUUUCUGUUUCUCAAUUAUGCAAAAUGGGCUACAACUGUCUAUUUACAGAUGUAGGUGUUACUGUCUUUAGAAGAUGUGAUGAUUCAAUAGCAUUUAAGGGAGUGUUAGAGGGUCAGCUAUAUUUAGUUGAUUUUAAUGAGAACAAAGCUGAACUUAACACUUGCUUAAUUGCUAUGACUAAUAUGGGUUGGCUCUAGCAUCGUCGACUAGCCCAUGUUGGAAUGAAGAAUCUUCAUAAGCUUCUAAAGGGAGAGCACAUUUUAGGACUAACAAAUGUUCAUUUUGAGAAAGACAGGGUUUGUAGUUCAUGCCAAGCAGGAAAGCAAGUUGGCGCUCAUCAUCCACACAAGAACAUAAUGACGACUGACAGACCGCUCGAGCUACUCCACAUGGAUUUAUUUGGCCUGAUAGCUUACAUAAGCAUCGGUGGGAGUAAGUACUGUCUAGUUAUAGUGGAUGAUUAUUCUCGCUUCACUUGGGUAUUCUUUUUGCAAGAAAAAUCACAAACCCAAGAGACCUUAAAAGAAUUCUUAAGAUGGGCUCAAAAUGAGUUUGGAUUAAGGAUAAAAAAUAUAAGAAGCGACAAUGGGACAGAGUUCAAGAAUUCACAAAUAGAAGGAUUUCAUGAGGAUGAGGGCAUCAAGCAUGAGUUCUCUUCUCCCUACACACCUCAACAAAAUGGUGUAGCGGAGAGGAAUAAUAGAACUCUACUGGACAUGGCAAGAACCAUGCUUGAUUAGUACAAGACACCGGACCGGUUUUGGGCUGAGGCGAUUAACACCGCCUGCUACUCCAUCAACCGACUCUACCUUCACCGAAUCCUCAAGAAGACAUCAUAUGAACUCCUCACUGCUAAAAAGCCAAAUGUUUCAUAUUUUAGAGUCUUUGGGAGUAAAUGCUUUAUUCUUGUUAAGAGAGGUAGAAAAUCUAAAUUUGCUCCUAAAGCUGUAGAAGGCUUUUUACUUGGUUAUGACUCAAACACAAGGGCAUAUAGAGUCUUCAACAAAUCCACUCGAUUGGUUGAGGUUUCUUGUGACAUUGUGUUUGAUGAGACUAAUGGCUCCCAAGUGGAGCAAGUUUAUCUUGAUGAACUAGAUGAUGAAGAGGCUCCAUGCGUCGCGCUAAGGAACAUGUCCAUUGGGGAUGUGUGUCCUAAGGAAUCCAAAGAGCCCACACAAGCACAAGAUCAACCGUCAUCUUCCAUGCAAGCAUCUCCACCAACUCAAGAUGAGGAUCAGGCUCAAGUUGAUGAAAAUGAAGAUCAAGAGGAUGAGCCACCUCAAGAGGAGGACAAUGAUCAAGGGGGAGAUGAAGAGAAUAAAGACAAGGAAGAUGAUCAAGAAAUUCAGGGACAAAGACCGCCACAUCCAAGAGUCCACCAAGCAAUUCAACGAGAUCACCUCGCCAACUCCAUCCUCGGUGACAUUCAUAAGGGGGUAACCACUAGAUCUCGAGUUGCUCAUUUCUGUGAACAUUACUCUUUUGUUUCCUCUAUUGAGCCAUACAUGGUAGAGGAUGCACUAAGAGAUCUAGAUUGGGUGCUGGCAAUGCAAGAGGAGCUCAAUAACUUCACGAGGAAUGAGGUAUGGCAUUUAGUUCUAGGUCCUAAUCAAAAUGUUGUAUGUACCAAGUGGGUAUUCCGCAACAAGCAAGAUGAGCAUGGUGUGGUGACAAGGAACAAAGCUCGACUUGUGGCCAAAGGUUAUUCACAAGUCGAAGGUUUGGAUUUCGAUGAAGCUUAUGCACCCGUAGCUAGGCUUGAGUCAAUUCGAAUAUUACUUGCCUAUGCUACUUACCAUGGCUUUAAGCUUUAUCAAAUGGAUGUAAAAAGUGCCUUCCUUAAUGGACCUAUCAAGGAAGAGGUCUAUGUUGAGCAACCUCCCAGCUUUGAAGAUAGUGAGUACCCUAACCAUGUGUAUAAACUCUCAAAGGUGCUUUAUGGGCUCAAGCAAGCCCCAAGAGAAUGGUAUGAAUGCCUGCGACAUUUUCUUAUCACUAAUGGCUUCAAAGUCGAAAAAGACGAUCCUACUCUCUUUACUAAAACUGUUGCAAAAGAUUUGUUCGUAUGCCAAAUUUAUGUUGAUGAUAUUAUAUUUGGGUCUACUAACAAAUCAACUUGUGAAGAGUUUAGUAGGAUCAUGAUACAAAAAUUUGAGAUGUCAAUGAUGGGGAGUUGAAGUAUUUUCUAGGAUUUCAAAUCAAACAACUCCAAGAUGGUACCUUCAUCAACCAAACAAAGUACAUUCAAGACAUACUUAAGAAGUUUGGGAUGAAGGAUAGCAAACCCAUCAAAACACCCAUGGGAACCAAUGGGCAUCUCGACCUCGACAUGGGAGGUAAAUCCGUAGAUCAAAAGGUAUACCGGUCGAUGAUAGGAUCUUUACUCUAUUUAUGUGCAUCUCGACCGGAUAUUAUGCUUUCAGUAUGCAUGUGUGCAAGGUUCCAGGCAGAUCCUAAGGAAAAUCACCUUAGGGUCGUGAAGAGAAUCAUGAGAUACUUAGUUUACACUCCUAAGUUUGGGCUUUGGUACCCCAAGGGAUCCACUUUUGAUUUAAUAGGAUAUUCCUAUGCCGACUGGGCAGGGUGUAAAAUUGAUAGGAAGAGCACAUCAGGGACUUGUCAGUUUCUGGGGAGAUCCCUGGUGUCUUGGGCUUCAAAGAAACAAAACUCAGUAGCUCUUUCUACCGCCGAAGUCGAGUACAUUGCCGCAUGUCACUGUUGCACGCAAUUACUUUGGAUGAGGCAAACCCUUAGGGACUAUGGCUACAAAUUGAGCAAAGUCCCUCUCCUAUGUGAUAAUGAGAAUGCAAUCCGCAUGGCGGAUAAUCCCAUUGAACACAGCCACACUAAGCACACAGACAUUCGGUAUCACUUUCUGAGGGAUCACCAACAAAAGGGAGAUAUCGAGAUUGCUUAUGUGAACGCUCAAAACCAAUUAGCCGAUAUCUUUACCAAGCCAUUAGAUGAGAAAACCUUUAGCAAACUUAGGAAUGAGCUAAAUAUACUUGAUUCUCGGAUUUUUGAUUGAAACAUUGCACACAUAGCUCAUUUAUAUACCUUUGAUCAUGUCUCUUUCAUUCUGGUACAAAUGCAUAUUUCUUAUUAUGUACCAAGGCUACGACUAAUAUGUUUUCAAGUGUAUUUCUAUACUAAGUCGUAGAUUGAAAGGGAAAUGGAGUCUUCGGCAAAGAACAAGGCUUCCACUCCACAACUCUGACGGUAUUAUCUACCCUUUGCCGUUGUUCCUCCACUCUCAAUUGGUAUAACCAUUCACUCAUAUUUAUAUUACCAUUUGGGAGAAAGAUGCACAAAGGACUCUCAACGUCUCCGUUUUUGGUGAUUAAUGCCAAAGGGGAGAGAAUAUUAAGCCCAAAGCAAAAGGACCGCACCACCACCAAUUUCAAAAUUUUCAAAAUAAGGUUUUAAUUGAUUUUUUUCACAUUGGUAUCUAUGUGAUGGAAAUUUCUUCAAUUGGUAUUCAGGAGGGAGUUUUUAUUCAGGAGGUCAAUUUUCAAAUUAGUAUCUAUUUCAAAAACCCUCUUGAAAGCUAAGAGGAGAAUUUUAUUCAGGAGGGAGUUUUUAUUUAGUCAAAGGAAAAGCAUUUGAAACAGGGGGAGAAAUUUCAAAUCUUGAAAAUGCUUCUUGCAAUAUUAUUCAUAUACCUUUGACUAUUUGCAAAAAGACUUUCCAAAAAGAUUUGUAAAAACAAAACAAGUGGUGCAAAUGUGGUCCAAAAUGUUAAAUAAAAGAAAAAGCAAUCCAUUCAUAUCUAGUGAGAUUUCCAAAUGGUUUAACUUCAUGUAACCUAUGCACAAUCCAAAUGCAAACUAUUUACAUUUCUGCACUUAUUAUUUGCUUUGGUUUGUGUUGGCAUCAAUCACCAAAAAGGGGGAGAUUGAAAGGGAAAUAGGGUAAACCUUUUCCCAUAAUUAAUUUUGGUGGUUGAUCGUCAACACAAACACAUGGACUAACUAGUUUGUCUAGAACUCAUGUGUUACAGGUGCAUAAGGUUCAACAUAAACCAAUAAAAGAUUCAAGUUAGGGACUAAAUUUGAAACACAACAAAGAACUUGAGUGUGCUGUGGACUGGCGCACCGGACAGUGUCCGGUGCACCAGGGUCGUACGUACAAGUUCCAACCAGCCACUCUCGGGAAUUUAACAGCGCCCCUCCGCUAUAAUUCACCAGACUGUCCGGUGUGCCACAGGACUGUCCGGUGUGCUAGCGGAGCAACGGCUAACUCGCGCAACGGUUGACUCUGAUAGAAGCUACAAUGAGCAACAGUGCCGCGCAGAAGUUAGAACAGUGAAGUCAGAGGGGCACCGGACUGUCCGGUGUGGCACCAGACUGUUCGGUGCCGCAAGAGAACAAAGCUCCAACGGUCGCCCGAGCUCCAAACCCUAACGGUUGGGUGAUGUGGCGGUGCACCGGAUAGCGCACAGUACCUGUCUGGUGGCGCACCGUUCUCUCCGGUGCGCCCAUCGCCAGCAGCCUCCCCAACGGCUACCAAAGUGGUUGGGGGCUAUAAAUACCCCCAACCACCACAACUUCAAGCAUCCAAGUUUUCUGAAGAUCACAUUCAAUACAAGAGCUCUAGCAUUCACUCCAAGACAUAAUACAAAAGAUCAAAUCCUCUCCGAGUCCCAAAUUCAUUCCAAACACUUAGUGGCUUGUGAGAGAGAAUUUUGUGUUUAUUUGAGUUCUUGUCGCUUGGAUUGCCUUUCUUCUUUUCCAAUUCUUACUCUCAAGUGCUUUGUAAGCGAGGCAAGAGACACCAAGUGUGUGGUGGUCCUUGCGGGGGUCUUAGUGACCCAUGAGAUUAAGGAAGAAGGCUCACUCGGUCUAAGUGACCGUUUGAGAGAGAGAAAGGGUUGAAAUAGACCCGGUCUUUAUGACCUCCUCAACGGGGACUAGGUUCUUUGGAACCGAACCUCGGUAAAACAAAUCAUCGUGUCAUUCGCUUUAUUUUUUUGGUUGAUUUGUUUUCCCCUCUCUCCCGGACUCAGAUUUUAUUCUAACGCUAACCCCGGCUUGUAGUGUGUUUAAAGUUGUAAAUUUCAGUUUCCGUCUAUCCACCCCCCCUCUAGGCGACUUUCAAUUGGUAUCAAAGCUGGUACUUCAUUAGAGUCUAACCACUCGAAGUGAUGUCGGGAGGAUCCGCCAAGAGGGAGAUGGAAACGGGCACAAGCCACGGGAAGGCUCCAUCAAAGGAGUCCAGUGCCAAAGGAAGGGAGGAAUAACCUCCAUGAGUCAAGUCGCAUCGGAGUGGCGACAAGAAGAAGAAGAUGAAGAAAGUGGUCUACUACGAGACCGAUUCUUCGUUGCCAUCCACCUCCGGCUCCGAUGCGGCAUCCAUCACUUCUAAGCGCCAUGAGUGCAAGAAGUUUAGUAAGAUACCCCUACGCUAUCCCCGUAUUUCUAAAUGUGCUCCUUUACUUUCUGUUCCAUUAGGCAGACCACCAGUUUUUUAUGGUGAAGAUUAUUCUAUGUGGAGUGUUAAAAUGAAAGGUCAUCUAACCUCACUCCACGAAAGCAUAUGGGAUGUUGUUUAGUAUGGAGCGCAGGUACCACAGGUGGGGGAUAAGGACUAUGACUCGGACGAAGUCACCCAAAUAAGGCACUUUAAGUCCCAAGCAACUACUAUACUCCUUGCCUCUUUAAGUCGAGAGGAGUAUAACAAAGUACAUGGGUUAGAGACCGCCAAAGAAAUUUGGGACGUCCUCAAGACCGCACAUGAAGGGGACAAUGUGACGAAGAUCACCAAAAGGGAGACGAUCGAGGGAGAGCUCGGUCGAUUCGUCCUCAACCAUGGGGAAGAGCCGCAAGCCAUGUACAACCGGCUAAAGACCAUGGUGAACCAAGUGCGCAACCUCGGGAGCACCAAAUGGGAUGACCAUGAAAUGGUCAAGGUUAUUCUAAGAUCCCUCAUUUUUCACAAUCCUACGCAAGUUCAAUUAAUACGUGGUGAUCCUAGAUAUAAGCUAAUGUCUCCCGAGGAGGUUAUAGAAAAGUUUGUGAGCUUUGAAUUGAUGAUCAAAGGCUCCAAACAAAUCAUCAACUUGGAGCAAGGCGGCACCUCCACACCCGAGGUGCAACUCGUCGCAUUCAAAGCGACGGAGGAGAAGAAAGAAGAGUCUACAUCAAGUAGGCUCCCCAUCGACUCCUCCAAGCUUGACAACGAGGAGAUGGCACUCAUCAUUAAGAGCUUUCGCCAAAUCCUCAAGCAAAGGAAGGGGAAAGACUACAAGCCCUGUUCCAAAAGGGUGUGCUACAAGUGUGGUAAGCCCGGUCAUUUUAUUGCAAAAUGUCCUAUAUCUAGUGAUAGUGAUAGGGGCGACGACAAGAGGGGGGAGAAGGAGAAGAAGAGAUAUUACCAGAAGAAGGGCGGCGAUGCCCAUGUGUGUCAGGAAUGGGACUCCGACAUGAGCUCCACCGACUCCUCCUCCGACGAGGAUGUCACCAACAUCGCCGUCAACAAAGGUCUCCUCUUCCCCAACAUCGGCCACAAGUGCCUCAUGGCAAAGGACGGCAAAAGGAAGAAGGUAAAAUCUAGAGCCUCCACUAAAUAUACAACAUCUAGUGAUGAGAGUAGCUCUAGUGAAGAUGAGGAUAAUUUGCUUACCCUUUUUGCCAACCUUAACAUGCAACAAAAGGAAAAAUUAAAUGAAUUGAUAGUAGCCAUUCAUGAGAAGGAUGAACUCUUGGACAGCCAAGAGGAAUUCCUUAUUAAGGAAAAUGAAAAGCAUGUUAAGGUGAAAAAUGCUUAUGCUCAAGAAGUAGAGAAAAAUGAAAGCUUGACUAAGGAGCUUAGCAUUUGCCAUGACACUAUUUCUAACCUUAGAACUGAGAAUGUUAGUUUAAAUGCUAAGGUUGAGAAAUUAAAUGCUUGUAAUGAUUCAAUUGCCAAUCUUAGAAAUGAGAAUGCUAGUUUAAUUGCUAAGAUUGAUAAAUUGAACGAAUCAAUUUCUAGCCUUAAGACUGAGAAUGCUAAUUUAAUUUCCAAGGCUAGAGACUUAAAUGGUUGUAAUGAUUCCAUUUCCUGUCUUAGAGAUGAAAAUGCAAUAUUACAUGCUAAGAUAGAUGAAUUAAAUGCUUGCAAACCCUCUACAUCUACAAUAGAACAUGUCGCCAUUUGUACUAGAUGUAGAGAUGUUAAUAUUGAUGCUAUUCAUGAUCACCUUGCUUUAAUUAAACAACAAAAUGAUCAUAUAGCUCAAUUAGCUAGUAAAAUCAAUGAGCAUGAGAUAGAAAAUGAAAAAUUUAAAUUUGCUAGAAGCAUGCUCUAUAAUGGGAGAUGCCCUGGCAUCAAGGAUGGCAUUGGUUUCCAACAGGGAAGCAAUGUCAAACUUAAUGCCCCUAAAAGAUUGUCUAAUUUUGUUAAGGGCAAGGCUCCCAUGGUUCAGGAUAACGAGGGCUAUAUUUUAUAUCCUGCUGGUUAUCCCGAACACAAAAUUAGGAGAAUUCAUGCUAGGAAAACUCAUUCUGUUUCUCAUCAUGCACUUAUGUAUAAGAAUGAGGCUUCUAGCUCUAGGCAAUCAACUCAUGUUAAAUUGCCUAAAAAGAAAACUCCUACCGCAUCAAAUAAACCUAAUAUUUCAUUUAAGACUUUUGAUGCUUCAUAUGUUUUGACUAACAAAUCAGGCAAAGUAGUUGCCAAAUAUGUUGGGGGCAAACACAAGGGGUCAAAGACUUGUGUUUGGGUAUCCAAGGUGCUUGUUUAUAACAUCAAAGGACCCAAUAUUGUUUGGGUACCUAAGAACAAGGCCUAAAUUGUUUUGCAGGUUUAUGCAUCCAGGGGCUCAAGUUGGAUUAUUGAUAGCGGAUGCACAAACCACAUGACAGGGGAGAAAAUGAUGUUCUCCUUCUACGAGAAAAACGAAGAUCCCCAAAGAGCUAUCACAUUUAGGGAUGGAAAUCAAGGUUUGGUCAAAGGACUUGGUAAAAUUGCUAUAUCACCUGACCACUCUAUUUUCAAUGUUUUUCUUGUAGAUUCUUUAGAUUACAAUUUGCUUUCUGUUUCUCAAUUAUGUAAAAUGGGCUACAACUGACUUUUUACGGAUAUAUGUGUUACUGUCUUUAGAAGAAGUGAUUAUUCAGUAGCAUUUAAGGGAGUAUUAGAGGGUCAGCUAUACUUAGUUGAUUUUAAUAGAGCUGAACUCGUACUUGCUUAAUUGCUAAGACUAAUAUGGGUUGGCUCUGGCAUCGCCGACUAGCCCAUGUUGGGAUGAAGAAUCUUCACAAGCUUCUAAAGGGAGAGCACAUUUUGGGACUAACCAAUGUUAAUUUUGAGAAAGACAGGGUUUGUAGCGCAUGUCAAGCAGGAAAGCAAGUUGGCGCCCAUCAUCCACACAAGAACAUCAUGACGACUGACAGGCCGCUUGAGCUACUCCACAUGGAUCUAUUUGGCCCGAUAGCUUACAUAAGCAUCGGCAGGAGUAAGUACUAUCUAGUAAUUGUGGAUGAUUAUUCUCGCUUCACUUGGGUAUUCUUUUUGCUGGAAAAAUCUCAAACCCAAGAAACUUUAAAGGGAUUCUUGAGACGAGCUCAAAAUAAGUUCGGAUUAAGGAUCAAUAAAAUAAGAAGCGACAAUGGGAUGAAGUUCAAGAACUCUCAAAUUGAAGGCUGUCUUGAGGAGGAGGGCAUCAAGCAUGAGUUCUCUUCUCCCUACACACCUCAACAAAAUGGUGUAGUGGAGAGGAAGAAUAGAACUCUACUGGACAUGGCAAGGACCAUUCUUGAUGAGUAUAAGACACCGGACCGGUUUUGGGCGGAAGCAAUCAACAUUGCUUGCUACUCCAUCAACCGGUUCUACCUUCACCGAAUCAUCAAGAAGACAUCAUAUGAACUCCUCACCAGUAAAAAGCCUAAUGUUUCAUAUUUUAGAGUCUUUGGUAGCAAAUGUUUUAUUCUUGUUAAAAGAGAUAGAAAAUCUAAAUUUGAUCCUAAGGUUGUAGAAGGCUUUUUACUUGAUUAUGACUCAAACACAAGGGCAUAUAGAGUCUUCAACAAAUCCACUGGAUUAGUUGAGGUUUCUUGUGACAUUGUGUUUGAUGAGACUAAUGGCUCCCAAGUGGAGCAACUUGAUCUUGAUGAGCUAGAUGAUGAAGAGGCUCUAUGCAUCGCGCUAAGGAACAUGUCCAUUGGGGAUGUGUGUCCUAAGGAAUCCGAAGAGCCCACUCAUGCACAAGAUCAACCGUCAUCUUCCAAUCAAGCAUCUCCACCAACUCAAGAUGAGGAUCAGGCUCAAGACAAUGAAAAAGAAGAUCAAGAGGAUGAGUCACCUUAAGAGGAGGACAAUGAUCAAGGGGGAGAUGACCAUGACAAGGACAAGGAAGAUGAGCAAGAGAUUUAGGGUCAAAGACCGCCACACCCAAGAGUCCACCAAGCGAUUCAAAGAGAUCACCUCGUGAACUCCAUUCUCGGUGAUAUUCAUAAGGGGGUAACCACUCAAUCUCGAGUCACUCAUUUUUCUGAACAUUACUCUUUUGUGUCCUCUAUUGAGCCAUACCGGGUGGAGAAUGCACUAAGAGAUUCGGAUUGGGUGCUGGCAAUGCAAGAGGAGCUCAACAACUUCACGAGGAAUGAGGUAUGGCAUUUAGUUCCACGUCCUAACCAAAUUGUUGUAGGUACCAAGUGGGUAUUCCGCAACAAGCAAGAUGAGCAUGGUGUGGUGAUAAGGAACAAAGCCCAACUUGUGGCCAGGGGAUAUUCACAAGUCAAAGGUUUGGAUUUCGGUGAAACAUAUGCACCCGUAGCUAGGCUUGAGUCAAUUCGUAUAUUACUUGCCUAUGCUACUUACCAUGGCUUUAAGCUUUAUCAAAUGGACGUGAAAAGUGCCUUCCUCAAUGGACCAAUCAAGGAAGAGGUCUAUGUUGAUCAACCUCCCGGCUUUGAAGAUAGUGAGUACCCUAACCAUGUUUAUAAACUCUCAAAGGCGCUUUAUGGGCUCAAGCAAGCCCUAAGAGCAUGGUAUGAAUGCCUGCGAGAUUUUCUUAUCACUAAUGGCUUCAAAGUCGGAAAAGCCGAUCCUACACUCUUUACUAAAACUAUUGCAAAAGAUUUGUUUGUAUGCCAAAUUUAUGUUGAUGAUAUCAUAUUUGGGUCUACUAACAAAUCUACAUGUGAAGAGUUUAGUAGGAUCAUGAUUCAAAAAUUCAAGAUGUCUAUGAUGGGGGAGUUGAAGUAUUUUCUAGAAUUUCAAGUCAACCAACUCCAAGAUGGCACCUUCAUCAGCUAAACAAAGUACAUGCAAGACAUACUUAACAAGUUUGGAAUGAAGGAUGCCAAGCCCAUCAAGACACCCAUGGGAACAAAUGGGCAUCUCGACCUCGACACGGGAGGUAAAUCCGUAGAUCAAAACGUAUACCAGUCGAUGAUAGGAUCUUUACUCUACUUAUGUGCAUCUUGACCGGAUAUUAUGCUUUCUGUAUGCAUGUGUGCAAGGUUCCAAGCCGAUCCUAAGGAUUCACCUUAGGGUCGUGAAAAGAAUCAUAAGAUAUUUAGUAUACACUCCUAAGUUUGGACUUUGGUACCCCAAGAGAUCCACUUUUGAUUUAAUAGGUUAUUCAGAUGCUGAUUGGGCAGGGUGUAAAAUUGAUAGGAAGAGCACAUCAGGGACUUGUCAGUUUUUAGGGAGAUCCCUCGUGUCUUGGGCUUCAAAGAAACAAAUCUCAGUAGCUCUUUCUACCGCCGAAGCCGAGUAUAUUGCCGCAGGUCAUUGUUGUGUGCAAUUACUUUGGAUGAGGCAAACCCUUAGGGACUAUGGCUACAAAUUGAGCAAAGUCACUCUCCUAUGUGAUAAUGAGAGUGCAAUCCACAUGGCGGAUAAUCCCGUUGAACACAGCCACACUAAGCACAUAGACAUUCGGUAUCACUUUUUGAGGGAUCACCAACAAAGGGGGGAUAUCGAGAUCGCUUAUGUUAGCACCAAAGAACAAUUAGCCGAUAUCUUCACUAAGCCAUUAGAUGAGAAAACCUUUAGCAAACUUAGGAAUGAGCUAAAUAUACUUGAUUCUCGGAAUUUUGAUUGAAACAUUGCACACAUAGCUCAUUUAUAUACCUUUGAUCAUAUCUCUUUUAUGUCUACGACUAAUGUGUUUUCAAGUGUAUUUCUAUGCUAAGUCGUAGAUUGAAAGGGAAAUGGAGUCUUCGGCGAAGACAAGGCUUCCACUCCACUCUAUCGGUAUCAUCUACCCUUCGUCGUCACUCCACAUCACUCUUCGAUUGGUAUAAUCUUCACUCAUAUUUACUUGUACCAAUGGGAGAGAAAGUAACAAAGGGCUCUCAAAGUCUCCGUUUUUGGCGAUUAAUGCCAAAGGGGGAGAAAUAUUAAGCCCAAAGCAAAAGGACCGCACCACCACCAAUUUCAAAAUUUUCAAGAAUUUUUCAAAUUGGUAUCUAAAUGUAUUUGAUCUUAUUCAAUUUGGUAUUUACAAAAAUUGGUAAAACCCUCUUGAACACUAAGAGGAGCAUUUGGUUCAGGGGGAGUUUUGUUUAGUCAAGGAAAAGCAUUUGAAACAGGGGGAGAAAUUUCAAAUCUUCAAAAUGCUUCUUGCAAUCUUAUUCAUAUACCUUUGACUAUUUGCAAAAGACUUUAAAAAAAUUCAAAAAAGAUUUGCAAAAACAAAACAAGUGGUGCAAAUGUGGUCCAAAAUAUUAAAUAGAAGAAAGCAAUCCAUUCAUAUCUAGUGAAAUUAUAAAUUGGUUUAAUUCCAAGUAACCUAUGCACUUACCCUAUGCAAACUAGUUCAAUUCUGCACUUAUAUAUUUUCUUUGGUUUGUGUUGGCAUCAAUCACCAAAAAGGGGGAGAUUGAAAGGGAAAUAGGGUUAACCUUUUCCCAAUAUUAAUUUUGGUGGUUGAAUGCCCAACACAAAUAAUGGACUAACUAGUUUUCUCUAGAGUAUAUGAUCUACAGGUGCAUAAAGGAUCAACACAAAUCAAUAAAAGAUUGAAGAUAGGGUUCGAAUACAAAGGAGCAAAGAAACCGAGUGUGCCCUGGUCUGGCGCAUCAGACUGUCCGGUGUGCCACCGGACAGUGUCUGGUGCACCAGGACCAUACAGAGUCUAAACAGCCACUCUCGGGUUUCAACCAGCGCGCUCCGCUAUAAUUCACCGGACUGUCCGAUGCACCAGCGGAGCAAUGGCUACUUCGCGCAACGGUCGCCUGCAAAAGCUGAAGAACAGAGGAACAGUACACAAACAGUGCGCGGCAGAGGCGCACCGGACAUUGAACAGUGUCUGUCCGGUGCGGCACCGGACUGUCCGGUGUCACUAGAGGACAAAGCCUCCAACGGUCAAAAGUUCUAGAACCCUAACGGUUGGGUGACGUGGCUGGCGCACUGGACAGUGUUCGGUGCGCCCAUCGACAACAGCCUACCCCAAUGGUUGUUUUGGUGGGUGAGGGCUAUAAAUACCCCUCAACCACCUGCACUCCAACCAUCCAAGCAUUCAACACUCUCCAUUCAAUACAAGAGAAAAGUGCAACACUCCACGACACAAAUCAAAGCCAUCGAUCCAAUCAAAGUCCCUAAUUCAAUUCUAGUGCAUUAGGACUUGUGAGAGGAUCAAUCGUGUUUCUUUGUUGCUCUUGUUUGCUUGGCUUGGCUUUCUUUUCUUUCUCACUUCUUACUCUCAAGUGCUUUGUAAGCGAGGCAAGAUACACCAAUUGUAUGGUGGUCCUUGCGGGGUCUAAGUGACCCGUGAGAUUAAGGAAGAAGCCUCACUCGGUCUAGGUGACCGUUUGAGAGAGGGAAAGGGUUGAAAGAGACCCGGUCUUUGUGACCACCUCAACGGGGACUAGGUUCUUUAGAACCAAACCUCGGUAAAACAAAUCACCGUGUCACCCGCUUUAUUUUCUUGGUUGAUUUGUUUUCCCCUCUCUCCCAGACUCGGAUUUUAUCCUAACGCUAACUCCGGCUUGUAGUGUGUUUAAAGUUGUAAAUUUCAGUUUCCGCCUAUCCACCCCCCCUCUAGGCGACUUUUAGAAAGUUCGAUUGAAAAAUAUAAAGCCAGACCAUUUGGUGCUUUGGAGGAUAGCCAACCCAGAUACAGUGGGCAAGCUACAGCUGAAAUGGAAGGGUCCUUUUCUGGUAGUAUCUUCGUCAAGACCUGGUUCUUACAGAUUGAAGGAUAUGGACGGCAACGACAUACCUAGAUCUUGGAAUGCGGAUGAGCUUUGGCGGUAUUAUGUGUAAUUGAUGUAAUCUUUUUUAUUUUUUCCUAUGGCACCCUUUUCCUUUUAGGAGGGGAGAAAGGUUUUUAAUGGGGCCAUAGUUUGUAAUUUUCAUUCUUAUUUGGCCCUAUGCAAUACAAGGGCCAAAAUCCCCCAAAAAUGUAACAUGUAAUAUCAGAACAUGCACCAUCGAGUGCAAAAGAAAACAGGGAAAAGCUCAAAAGUCGUCCCUAAGGGGAUGCAGAGCUGUAAUUACCCCAAGGAUGAUGAAGCUGCAAAAGUCGUUCCUAAGGGAGCACAGAGUAAGUUCCGAAGCUGCAAAAGUCGUUCCUAAGAGGGCGCAGAGUAAGUUCCGAAGCUCAAAAGUCGUUCCUAAGGGAAUGCAGAGCCAAAAUACCACCAAAAUAAAAGAAGAAGCUCCAAAUUCAGUCCUAAGGGGAUGUAGAGCUUAAAUGCCACCGAAAUAAAAGGUGAAGAAGCUCCAAAGUCGUUCCUAAGGGGAUGUAGAGCUUAAAUGACACCGAAAUAAAAGGUGAAGAAGCUCCAAAGUCGUUCCUAAGGGAAUGCAGAGCUUAAAGACUCUGAAUUCGUUCCUAAGGGGAUGCAGAGUCUGGGUGCGGCUUCGUGUGUGUAUGGAUCAUACAUUUGCAUAUUACAUUACAUCAUUCAUUGCAUUCAUACAGACAUUCAUUAGACAUUCGUAGGAUCAUCAUCAUCAUGACAUGAAGCACGAACAGAAAUAGUCCGGCUUCGGCGACAAAGUGUUUUGUUGAACACGAAGAAGCUUUGUUUCAAAUAUGAAUACAUGCAUUUUAUGCAAGGGAAUGCUUCAAUGUGUACGAAAAGAAGGGAAGGUGUUUUUCGCCUUCGGCUCAAAAGACGCGAAUUUCGUCCACAGCAAAGCAAUUCGUACAUGGACGGAAAGGUAAAAUUAUAUUACAAGGUAUGGACAAAUAUAUACAGUAUUGAGUUUAACUCUUGAUUACAAUUUUUGCAAAAAUAAUGCAAAACAUUUCCUAAGUUCUAUACAGGAAGGCACAAAAGGAAGCUUCAUCUCGGUAACCUUCGGAAUGUGCUUUGGGUUAUUAACCUUCGACACCUCCAUCCUGCAGACAAACAAUGGUAUAAGGUAAAAGUGAUUUAAAAAUCAAGGCAAGCAACAGGUAUAAGUUUCGUACUGGUUUAAGCAGACUUCGAGCUUCGUCUCCAGCCAACUCUCGUCCGCCUUUAGCCCAAAUCUGAGUGAUGAAUCUAUUUCCGAUGCUUCGGGCUUCACCGGGGAUGUUAAUAAGGUCUGAUAGUGAUAAGCUGAAGGUUGACUUGUUCAUUGUUUUUGCAUGCAUGCAUCCGGCCUUCAAGAAUGCAGCAGUUGUGCCGCGAGAAGCUAACAAAGCACAGAAGUCACCGUGCCCAGUUAUCACUUCAUCGAGCGCAUCAACUUCAUUUUCAAUGUGCUUGAAGGUAUCUAAUAUGUCUUCAGCCGAAGGGGUAAUAUCUUUAGAGCUAGCCCCGACCGAGCUGAAGACUCCUUUUAACCGUUGCACGCAGCGGCUGCCAAAUUCCAAGCAUGUGUUCCGAAUGUCCCUCAGAGAUUCUUGUAGCUUUGAGUUUUUAUCAGCUUUGGCUUCAUAUUUUGCUUGCAGUUCCUUCUUCUCUUGUUCGAAGCACUCUGAUUUUCCUUUUAAGAUUGUUUGAGUUCGGAGAAGCUCUUUGCUUAACCUAGCAUUUUCAGCUUGAAUCUCUGCAAGUGAACCUUCUGUUGCUUGAAGCAGGAAGUCCUUCUUUUCAAGAGAAGCUUUGUAAUCUUUAAUCUUGCUUUCCAAGCCCUCAAUUAUAAUUUCAUUUUUCUUAUCUUCAAGGUCUUGUUGCAUUCUUAAUGCUUUACUUAGCAGCAUACUCUAUGAAAAUAAGUUGACUUCAGAAAAUUUUAAUUCAUCACAAAGAUAACAAAAAUCUAGGCAAAAGAAUUUUACCUUAAAAUUGGAGUAAAAGAGACUGCGGACGAUAUGUUGCCGCCGGUAGCCGCUUAUAUCACACUCAAGCUUCGAAAAACCGACACUCUUUGAUAGAGUGCCGAUUAUUUUUGACCCGGCACGAUCGCGAAUACAUCCCAAGGCUUCUUCGUCAAUUCCACCAAAAAGCAUAACUCCUCGCUGGUAGCCACAGGAUAUCCCAUAUUCCAUUAGCUCCUUUUUCUCAGCCUCGGACAAUUCUUGACCCACCAGGUUCCGAAGGUCAAAAUCUUUUUCUUCUAAAGCAGCAUCAGCAAUUUUUUCCUUUGUCAGGCACUGCGGCCAUGAUCUUCUCUGCAGUUGCAGACGUCUCUUCUGCAGCCAUAUCCGAAAGAAGUUUAUCAAUUCCUAAUAGUGUACUUGCUAGAUUGGUAGCUUCGGCAGCAGCUGUAGCUUCGGUAGAGGUUUCAGCUUCGGCAGUGGCCUCGGCACUUGCGACAGGUACUAUUCUGGACGUCGAGGCCAGAUGUGGUGUCCGCUCAACAGCUUGCAUAACAUUAACAUUUCUUCACUUUUUCUGACCCUUAGUCUUCUCCUUUACGGCCAAGGGUUGAUCCUUCUUCUGUAAAAGUUUCGUCAGUUCUGGUCCCAGAGGACUUAGCAGCUUGAUGGGUAAGGAUUCAGUCAUUACCUUUAAAAUUAUUUUUAUUUCAGCAGCAGGAGGUGUUGAAGGAGUCUCUUCUGUUGCCUCAGUUACCUUCGGCUCUGGAGCUUCAGCCUUCCUCUUUUUUGAAACUGCCGCCUUCGGCUCAGGAGUGGAUUUUGUCUUCUUAGAAAUUUUCUCAUCUUCCUUAACCAUUCUGACAGCUUGCCUGCUUAGAAUGCUGACAACCUUUUUUUUCUUUUUACCCCUUCGACCCCCUUGUCAAGUUUUUCAUAAUCAGGGUAGUCAAAAUUUAAGGCGUCCAUUACCCGGUUCAAUCUUCGUUUCAGGCGGGUACCGAAGGCUAUGGUCAUCAGCUGAUCUUCGUUCUUGGUAUAAUUCCCAAGUAUCUCAUUGCACAUGGUCUCAAUCAUGUCUAGCCAUUCUUUGCAAGGCUUCUUGAAUUGUUUUUCAAACUUAAAACGGUAAGCAAGUCGAACAAGUCCAUGCUUCUUCCCCACUUCUUUCCUCUUCGGCAUUCCCCAGCCACUUGACGUUGGAUAUGUUCUGUUUGCAAAGUAUUCUUGCACCAAGUCCCUAGUACUGAUCUGCUCAGCUACCACUCUAAAUUCUACUUCAGCCAACUGACAGGGUGACCCCAGUUGCAUAUUGCAUAAGGGUCUGGUUAUUUCGAAGCUUAAAGUCAGUGGACUCAUGACCAUGGUCGUCAGCUUCUCCCUCUUUUUCUCGUUAGCCUUCAUAUAGAACCACUCACUUUUCCAGCCAGUUGGCCACUUCGUGUGGUAGCUAAGAACUGGUGCCUUUGUAUCCUUUUGAUAUGCAAAAUUGUAACAGCCAAAAUUUUCAUGAAGGCCAUCUACCCUGGCCUUCGUCUGGUAAUGCAGUUCGUGCACUCGGCAGAAAGCUUCGGCAUCUGGACUCAUCCCUUGGCUUCGGAGGGCCCAGAUAUAGACACUGAGUCUAACAAUAGUGUUGGGAGUCAGCUGAUGAAGAUAUAUCUCAAAGUUCAAUAAAACUUCUCCAAUCAUAACAUUUAGGGGGGACCGAAGCCCUGCUCUAAAGAAGCUCUUAAAAACGACAACUUCAUCCUCUUUCGGCUCCAGAAUUACCUCUUCCCCGGCAAAUCGAACAAGUUUGCUCUCAGCCUCUCCAAAAUACCCCAAUUUCAUCAUCAUAGGCAUGUCAUCUUCUGUUACAGUGGAUUUUUCAAAUUCAAGAUGACUAGGCUUUGUCGGGUUCAGAAUGUUGUAGUCUUAUUCACUCUCAUCAUCAUUCUCACCAACCACAGCUUGUUCAGCUUCGGCAUUGGAAGCACCUUCGGUAAUAGGCCCUUCUGGCACAAUUGGUGUUGUUUCAGUUACGUCGACUUCGUCUCCCUCGCGAGACACUCUAGCAGUUGAUCGUACUCUGGUCAUUUCAAUGAUUUCACCUUUUGACGAAGCUAACCUUAAACGAUGAAGCGUUUGCUCAAGAGCGCAAUGCAGAAAGCUUCGGUUAUGGUCAAAAAUUUUAACAGCACAACAGUGCAAUGACAAUGAAUGUUGUGGUAACUCCUCACCAACCCGUCUGUUUAUAUAGUGCUGCAGGGGGGGAGGUGAACCGUCAGGCCGCUCGCACUCGCUGAACGGUGGACCGUCCGACGCCUGGAAUAUUAUAAUCGUUUCUCUGCAACGAGCUCAGGGAAGGUGUUUUCGGACCUUCGGCAUUCCGAAGCCUUCGGGUUUUUCACGGAUCGAGCUCGUUACGAAAAACGAUCUAACAUCGCGAAGGGGCUACUGUUGGGGGCCUUCUUCUCCGCCGAAGGUCCUCUAAGCAAAAACACCUUCGGCAGAACAAUACACAAGGAGGUGUGACAUGAAGAUGUAAGCCGAAGCUACCAUUGAAGGAGCUUCGGCAUGGUGACGCGCUAAAGACGAAGGAUGUUAUCGACUUAAAGAGGAAAAGACUGUAUAGCCCUUGAUAGUUUGUAUUGUAAUUAUAAUCAGCCAUCAGGGUCAUGGAUGUAAUUUUGUCGGGGCUGUGUCCCGAGCCUAUAAAUAGAUGAACAGUACACUCGUACUAUUCACGCUGACUUGUAAUCACUCUCGCGUGACUCUCGCUUUUUCACCUUCUGUCAAGCCGAAGGUACAAAUGUAAUAUAAAUAUCGUUGAUGUUUAUUCAUGUUUAUAUAAAAUAAGAAUAAGAAUAGUCUAAUGAUUUGAAAUGAUUACUCAUAUUCCCUUUGUGCUUCGUAUGUUUCUGUUUACAUUUUUGCUUACUGAAAUGAUGAAGCUAUGUCCUUCAUGACCUUCGUCUGAAGAUCAUUAUAUCCUAAGGGAAAUAAUGCUUCGAAGGACGAAGGUCACUAAUCAUUAACAAUUGUGUUGCUUUGUUCUUGGUAUUUAGCAUCUGAGAACAAGGACCAAUAUGUAUUAAUAAAUAUUUUUAAGAACUACAAAUACCAAACAAAUUCACAGGUCAUUCUCUUCCUCAUCCCCACAUAAUGCAGCGGAAAAUCUUGCUUUUAUUCCCGUCAUAGGUUCCGCGCAAUAGCUUGCUAGUGGUCGCACUCUUGGUCGGCAUUCACGAGCGGGUAGAGACAUCGACACUAGAUUUACCUGACCUCCACUAUCAUAGAGGACCAUGUAGUGUUCCUUGCUGGAUAGAUAAAGGAGGGAGAACUCUAGCGUAGCGAACGCUUAGACUAUCUACACUCAUACUACUCUAAAUUAGUACUUUAAAACAAAUAUUUUAGGGGUAUCUGCUAGUCAUAUAGUGUAAAUGUGCAACGAAUCUUCUAGGGGAUGCAAACGAGACCUCUCUCAUCCAUAUAUUAUUGUAUAUUGUAGGACGGUAGUUAGGAGGCUUCACAAAAAAAUGGAGGAGUGAUCUAACUGAUGUAACAUCUUAAAUAUAUAAUACUACAAAAUAUGUCAUUGCAACAAAACACGUCCUGAAUUGAAUCGAGGUUCACAACCGAAUAACCUGAAUUGAAUCGAGGUUCACAACCGAACAAGACCUUACUUUGUAUUUAACUUUGUGUUGAUGAAGUACUCUUUACACCUUCUCGAUAUGGAUAGCCUUAGACUGUUCAAGCAACGUCCUCUAUAUCUACUAUUUAUAUGACUAUAUCUGUCCUUCACAACUCUAAAAAAUUAUCCUCUAUAUUUACUUCAUCUCCAACAACGUUCUCUAAUUCACGUCCUAUGUAUAUAAAUACCUAUCUUAAAUAGAUAGAUAAAAUGAGAGAGAAACCCUAUAUAUAGAGAAUUUAGAUUAGAAAUUAGAGGACAAAAAAUAUUAUCUAUAAUUUAGAAUUUAGAGUACAUGAACUAAAGGUCUAUUGGAGCGCCUUAGAUAGCCUUAGCACAAUAGUGUACCCUAAAACUCUAUCCAUUUUAAUAUACGUAUGUAGCAAAUUAGAAGUAAUAUUGUCUCUGUAUUUACAUUGUAUUUACAUGUAGCACGAGAUUAACGUAUAGGACGAGAUUUAAAAAACGCUACUGGACAAGAAAAAAAGAAGAGUUUCUCUUGCUAAUGGAUAGAGAAAAUUGUAGUAGAUAAAUGAUUCAGAAACCAAUCCAAACGACCCUACAAAACUUCCAAAACAGACAAAACUAAGGGGGGAAAGAAACAUACUGAAGAAAACUAACUAUACGACUUCCUAAAAUCAAUUUAACAAUGCCAAAAGGUUAACAUAUAGGUCUUAGAGCAUUCUUGUAUUGCAAAAGGUGAAAUAGCAAGAUGGUACCAAAUAAAUAGAUAAAAGUGCACAUGCUAACAGAUCUCAACAGUUCACACGAUAACAGCAACGAUCACAAACAAAACUUGUGAUGAUGAAAACUAGGUAUUGCUAAAGCAGGCGCAGGAUCGCAUCAUUUCUUCUUGGCAGCCGCCUUGGUCACCUUGGCGCCGGUCGGGUCCUUCUUCUCCACACUCUUGAUAACUCCAACAGCAACCGUCUGCCUCAUGUCACGGACAGCAAACCUACCAAGGGGAGGAUACGCUGAGAACGUCUCCACCACCAUGGGCUUGGUCGGUAUCAUCUUCACCAUACCAGCAUCACCGUUCUUCAGGAACUUUGGCUCCUUCUCAAGCUCCUUGCCAGACCGCCUGUCGAUCUUGGUAAUGAGCUCAGCAAACUUGACAGCAAUGUGGGAGGUGUGGCAGUCCAGCACUGGGGCAUAGCCGUUGCCAAUCUGCCCAGGGUGGUUCAUGAUGAUGACCUGGGAGGUGAAGCUGGCAGCCUCCUUGGCAGGGUCAUCCUUGGAGUUGGAGGCCACAAACCCACGCUUGAGAUCCUUGACAGCAACGUUCUUCACGUUGAAGCCAACAUUGUCACCCGGAAGAGCCUCCUGAAGCGCCUCGUGGUGCAUCUCAACAGACUUCACCUCGGUAGUCAGGCCAGUUGGACCAAAGGUGACAACCAUACCAGGCUUGAUGACACCAGUCUCCACACGACCAACCGGUACAGUUCCAAUACCACCAAUCUUGUACACAUCCUGGAGGGGCAGACGCAGGGGCUUGUCUGAAGGCCUCUUGGGCUCGGUGAUCUGGUCAAGAGCCUCAAGCAGGGUUGGGCCUUUGUACCAGUCAAGGUUGGUGGACCUCUCAAUCAUGUUGUCACCCUCAAAACCAGAAAUGGGAACAAAGGCAAUCUUAUCAGGGUUGUACCCAACUUUCUUGAG